This 52015-nucleotide long non-coding RNA is filed under the name Triticum aestivum (bread wheat). RNAcentral describes it as "long non-coding RNA (TAES_LNC013890)". The record is from RNAcentral. Lineage: Eukaryota; Viridiplantae; Streptophyta; Magnoliopsida; Poales; Poaceae.
CCAAACUGAAUAUUCAUUGUUAAAAACAGACUUGUUUAGAUGACACUGUCAUACAGCAUCCAUGAGCAUGCACAAAAUUAAACCUGACAUACUUAACAUUGACAUGUUCAUAUUACACUAACAGGCUUAAACCUAACAUGCUGAACACCUUCUUAACACCUUCACUCCUCCUUCUUCUCCUUCAUCAACCUGAUGCGCUCAGAGUGGCGAAUCCCAAUGCGGAUGUACUCCUCUACCACAAUUGGCAUGGUCCUGUCGCCAAACUGUGGGAUUGUUGGCGCCGCCACCAUCGCGAGGUCGUCGUCCGCCACCACCAUCGCGAGGUCGUCGUCCGCCACCACCAUAGCAAGGUCGUCGUCCGCCACCACCAUAGCAAGGUCGUCAUCCGCCACCAACAUAGCAGGGUCGUCGUCAGCCACCACCAUAGCAUGUUCGUCGUCAGCCAGAAUAGGCUGCUCCUCGUCAUCCCCGCUCUGCUCCUCGUCGUCAUCCCCGCUCUGCUCCUCGUCAUCCCCGCUGCUACUCCCAUUGCCUGGCCAAAUGCAAGAAAGUGUGAACAUGGUGUUGUCAUCGUGCAGGUAGAGGAAGCCAAAAGGACAGGAAGAAGAGAGGUAGAGAGCUUACUGGCAUCGACGUCGUGCUGGUAGUACAUGCGGCACAUGGUGUUGUCGAACAUCUUCACGGUGAACCUGGCGUCGCCGUCGUAGCAGAAGACAAGGAAGUACUCGAGCUGUAGCUCAUGGGCGCGGGCGAAAUGCUCCCAGUCGGUCCCUAGGUACAUGUGGCCUUCACCAUCAAACACCACCAACAGUUUCCAUAGCCUGUGAAGCCCGCUGUCGGCCUCCCGCAGCUUCACUUUGUGGGGCUCACGGCCCGCGAGCAUCUUCGCAAACUUGUCAGGCAGCCUCUGCAGCGAGGGUCAAUCAGUAGUUAAUUGUGGGAAUCAAGCACUAGACAGCAGAGUGAUGAUAAAGAAAUGAGUGAUGAUAAAUAUACCUGCCUACUGCAAGAUUUCUCAAUUAUGAUCUCAAAGAACUCAAAACCUUCCAAGCCAGCCAUCUCACUUCUACUCUAAGCAAGCAAUAGGAAACAAGCAAUAGUAAAUUAAACAACAUGACUGGACAGAAAUAGGAAACAAGCAGCAUUGUAAAUCAAAACAGUAGAAUAAUUACUACAUGUGUUUGCCAGGGCCUCAAUUUGGAAUACUACUAUAAAUGGCAAUGGCCUCAAUUUGCUCCUACUCUAUCUUGGCAAAGGGGCAAUGAGUAGAAGAAGAAUGUAAUGUUUCCAUACUUGAGCAUGUUCAGUUUAAAAGAAUAUAAACAAGCAAGUAUGCAUGCAUGCAUAUCAAAUGUUGGCAUCUACUGCUGCUACUACUCUGCCCAUAUUCAUGCAGGUCACUACACCUGCAUAUGCAUGAAUCCCACUGCAGCACAAGACUUGUCAACAAGAAUAACCACAACAGCACGUUCAACCAUAGAAUUCAACAGCAACAGAAUUCAACAGCAUGUUCUGGCAACAGUAACAGCAUGUUCACCAUAGAAUUCAACAGCAACAGAAUUCGGUUAAUUCAGUUAAUUAACCACAUAAUUCAACAGCAACAGAAUAGCAUGUCUACCACACUACCUACCACAGCAACAGUUAAUUGCUAUCAGGUGACUACCAACAGCAACAACAUAGUAAUCAAACAGCAAUUCAACCACACUAGAUCCACCAACAGAGCAUACUAAAUCCACCAUGAACAAUAUGCCUAAAUCCACCAAUAGAUGCCUAGUAUGCAUAACAAAUCCUAGAUUCUCAAACCCUAGAGCAGAAGAGAAAGGAGAGAGGAUAUGAAGCGGAUGGCUUAUCGCGGCGGAGUCCGAGAAGAAGUGGUCGCCGGUGGCGUAGGGCAAGCUGUGCGGGAGGCGUCGGACCAGUAGAGGCGCCGGGGAGGCGUCGCCGUCACCCUAAAAAACAUCCUAAUCAAACCCUAAUCAGGCGGCAAGAACCCUAAUCUAUCAUAAUAGUAGAUAGGAAGAGGAAGAGGAAGCGGAUUCAUACCCACGGUGACGGAGAGUCGGCGACGGAGAGAAAGAAGCUGGCGGCAGAGGUGGGAGAGGAAGAAGCCGGUGGCGGCGGAGAGGAGGAGCGGGUCGAGUGGAUAGGAGGAGUGGAGAGGGGGAGUGGGGAAAAGAGUGGAUAGGAGGAGGAGCGGGCCCAAUUGUCAGCGAGUUGUUUGAUACAUUGAAAAGGGUGGGCAUAGAGUACAAAACCAACAACCUCUUCCUAGCCCAGUGGUAGAAACCAAGUGAACUAAGCGCACGGUCGUGGGUUCGAGCCCCGGCGCGCGCAUAUUUUUUGGCCACACGCAUAUUUUUGGUAGCUUUGGUACAAUAGCAAAAUGGCCCACUUGUUAGUGAGUGGGUCGAGUGGCCCACUUGUCAGUGAGGUGUGUGCUUGAUACUUGACUAGUUUGAUAUAGUCAAAAGGGUUGGCAUAGAGUACAAAACCAACAGCCUCUUCCUAGCCCAGUGGUAGAAACAUAGUGAAACAAGCGUAUGGUCGUGGGUUCGAGUCCCCGCUGGCACAUAUCUUUUUGCUCACAAUGAAAUGGGUUCAGUUGAAGCAAAAUUCAGUUACAAUUCAGUUGAAGGAAAACCAGACAUCAUCCACUUCAGUUCAAAAAAACUACUACAUGAUCACAAAAACUACUAGACAACAUUCUGUAUGAUCACCAAAACUUGAACUAAAUGAUCACCAAUAUCUAAAUGAUCAUUUUGCAAUCUUUUGCAUUACAGGACAACAUUUUGACAACAUUCUGAGCACAACUUCAUUUUGCCAUCAGCUCCAUGCUAUAAGACCACACCACUACAGCCAUCAGGAUCUUCAAGCAUUUUGCUACCUGGAGAUAAUUGUAGUACAUCAGGAUCACCAUGCAUAUGCAUAAGAAGGAAAACUACAGAGAGUUAAAAGGAUCACCAAGGAGACCAAAUUUACGUUCAUGUACAUUCGCUACUCAUCGUCGUCGAUAUGAAAACAAGGAACUCUAUGCCCACUCCUGUUUUCCUCAUCAUCACUACAAUAUUGCAGCAUAGUAUGAUCAGUCCGGUUUUCCUCAUCCUCGCUUUCAUGUCCAUCCUCUACCACCUUUCUUCUUUUCUUGAUGCCUUCAACUGUUGCAGCACCAAUGAUCACACGUUCCCGGUCCCUUCGCACUCUGCUUUGCACCGGAACUUCCAUAGAGUCAUCAUCAGCUUGCAACGGAACUUCCGUAGAGUCAUCAUCUUGGUAUGUUAGUCCACCAUCACUGGGGCCCUUUUCCACUUCAGUUUCAGUCACACUCCACAAGUGUCUGUGCUGAAAGUUUUACACAACUCGCCAUUUUCCGUGCAAAAGAGUGUUUGGCAGAUAAAACACCAUUGUUGCUUGUGUUGUUAGAAUAAAGGGAUCACUCUUAUACCAGCACCUUGCAGUGUUGAUGCUUUUGAAGUGGCCAUCAUAUUUGACAAAAGAGUCUCUCCUCUUCUUGCUACCAAGCUCAAACCAGUCACAGCGAAAUAAGACAACCGAGCGAUGGAUGCCUCCACUAGAGUUGUACUGCAACUCUAGAUGCUUCUCAACUGACCAUAGAAGUCAAUGAUCUCACCAUCAUGUGACCCCUCAGUGACGAUUCCACUAUUCUGUGUCUUCCUUUUUUCCUCGCGGUCAACGGUGUGGUACCGGACACCGUCAGCAAUGCAUGCUGAAUACACUCUCACUCGCUUAUCCGGUAAGCAUGCCAAAGCAAAUAGAUCAUCACUGACCUUCUUCUCCUCAUGCAACUUUCCAAUCUGCACAAAUAAACCAUUUAGCAAACAAUGGUAUUUAACAAUGGGUGAAUAACACAGAAAACAUAAAACAUGUGGCUAAAGAUCUCACAUGAUUCUUAAACCACUUAGCAAACACCUUGGCAACCCUUUUAUCAACAUUGAUAUUGCUUUCUUCCUGAUUUAACUCUUCCUUGCAUUUCCUACAAUGCCAACAAAACAUGUGAAUUAAAACAUUAGGCUCGUGCCAACCCAAGCAAAGUAUAUAUAUAUAUAUAUAUAUAUAUAUAUAUAUAUAUAUAUAUAAUGAGUGCACAAGAUAUAACGUACUCGAUAUAUGGUAGAACCUCGGCGCAAUUGCUGAGCACAAACAAAACCAUCUUGUCAUACUCAUCACCAGCCUCCAAGUAUUUUGAGGCUCUAAGAAAGUUCACACCAUGGUUGAAAACAGAGACAUCACCACUUUGCGAAUCAGACCGCUCUCUAUUUCUGCCCAGCCGGUUCCAUCUUGUUUCCACAUCACCAAAGUAUCUAGAGCAAAAAGUCAAGCACUCGUCAACGACAUAUGCUUCAGCAAUAGAACCUUAAGGUCUUGCCGUGUUUCACACAUAACGCUUACAAGUAAGCAGCCUUCUUUCGAUUGGGUACAUCCAACCAUAUUGCACAGGGCCUCUAAGCAUUGCCUCUUUGGGUAAGUGCACCGCCAAAUGGACCAUCACGGUGAAGAAAGCUGGAGGGAAAAUCUUCUCGAGCUUGCAAAUAAUAAUUGGGAUUUCUCUUUCAAGUCUUUCCAAGACAGUUAACUUGAGGGUUUUGCAACACAGUUCUCUAAAGAAAUUUCGCAGCUCAGCAACCGCUUCAUAUAUAUCCUUGUGCAUGAUUUCUCAGAGGCCCGCCGGUAAAAUCCUUUGGAGGAGGAUGUGACAAUCAUGGGUUUUCAGUACUGAAAGCUUGAAUCCAUCAGAAGUAACACACUUUGCUAGGUUAGCAGCAUAACCAUCUGGAAAUUUCACCGCUCUUAGGAAUUCACAGAAUGCAAGCUUUUGUUCUUUAUUCAUUGUAUACCAUGCUCGUGGAAUUUCAAAUGAAUCUUCAUCUUCAUUGUGUUGUAGAUGCAAAUCUUCUCUUAUGCCCAUGUCCUCCAAAUCAAGCCUAGAACUAACCGUGUCCUUUGUCUUCCCUUCAAUGUUCAGAAACGUCCCUAGCAGAUUCUCGCAUAUGUUUUUCUCAAUGUGCAUUACAUCGAGAUUAUGCCUUAAUUUCAUAUCAGCCCAGUACGGCAGGUCCCACAAACAAGACCUCCGGUCCCAACAUUGACCUUCCUCACGCUUUCUUUUCUUCGCCAGCUUUCCUGGUCUCACAUCUUUCACCUUUUCAAGUUGCUGCUCCAGCUCUUCUUUAGUGAAUUCUGCUAGCCUGUCACGGGUUUCAUUCUCACCAUUAAAAUCUUUGCUUCUUCGCCAGCGAUGGUUUCGGGGAAGAAAGCGGCGGUGCCCAAUAUAGCAUAUCUUGCUCCUUAUUCUCUUUGAGCAAGGGUCUUUGUCACAAUGGACACAAGCCUGAUAACCCGUUGUGAUCCUCCCAGACAGAGUGUGCAGAGCCGGGAAAUCAUGGAUGGACCAUAUGAUCGCAGCACGUAGAUUGAACUUUUCUUCCGGACUCAAGGCAUCGUAUGUAGGUACACCAGUCCAGAGCUGGAGCAGUUCUUCUACGAGGGGAUCCAUAAAGACAUCAAAAUCCUUUCCUGGAGAAUCUGGACCCGGGAUAAGCAAUGACAUCAUGAAGUUGGACUGAUCCAUGCAUGCCCAUGGUGGCAGGUUGUACGGCACCACAAAAACUGGCCACAUGCUAUAAGACGUGCUCAUGUGCCCAAACGGAUUAAACCCAUCUGUAGCAAUGCCAAGUUUUAUGUUCCUUGGAUCUGCAGCAAAAUCAAAAUGUAUACAGUCAAACUCUUUCCAUGCCUCUCCAUCCGCUGGAUGGCUCAGCUCAUUGUCCACAGGUUGCCACUUCAGCUUGUGCCACUGUACCUCACGCGAUGAUUUCUUUGAGAUGAACAUCCGUUGUAGCCUUGGUAUCAAGGGAAAGUGCCUCAGUACCUUCUCCGGUAUUGACUUCUUCCCAUCAGCAUCUUUCCACCUAGAUGCAUUGCAUUUUGGACAGUUGUCAUGCUUUGCUAAAUCCUUUCGAAACAAGACACAGUUAUUUGGGCACACAUGUAUUGACACAUAACCUAACCCCAGCCUGCGGAUUAUGCUCAAUGCUUCAUCAUAAGAUCUGGGAACACAACUAUUAGGGAAUUGCAAGCUCAAAAGACAGAGUAUUGCGUUGAAUGCGGCAUUGCUAAUCCGGUAGAAAGACUUGAUGUGGAGUAACUUCAUGGUGAAGGUAAAUCUUGAAAAUUUACCCCCUUCAUGAGCUGCGCGCUUCGCCUCCAUGAACACCUCAGCAAACAACGACUUCUGUCCAUCAGCACGAUCUUCAGCAUCGUACAAAUCCUUCAAUAGGUCAGGAAUCCUACCAUCUUCAUGCCCAUCCUCUUCCUCCAAAACAACAUUAUCUCGCAAAACCUUUUCCAUGAAAUCAAUGCCAACAUCACCACCACCCAUCAUAUGAGGGGCCUCUGUAUCAGCUUCAAAAUGUUGAGGUUGUCUGUCUAAAGGUUCUCCAUGAUAUAUCCAUCUAUCAUAUGUGCUGGACAUCCCGUUAAGAAGCAGAUGAUCUUCCACUCUUCCUUGAGCCAUUCUUGGACGGUUGAGGCAUUCACAACAUGGGCAAAGAAAGUGAGCAUCGUUGGCAAAAUUUGCCCGAACAAAUGCCAUGAAAUCAUCAACUCCUUUCAUAUGUUCUUUCGAAAACUUUCUAACUCCUUCUCUAAUCCAGCUUCUGUCCAUCUAAGUGCAUCAACAUUAAUUAAUGAAAAUGGAUGGAAGUAAUGGAAGCUAACAUUCUAGAAAAUUUUAUAUGCUAAUUACCUAACCACAAGGCCUGAAGAAUUCUUAGCAAACAAGCUGAACAAUUCCUAACAGCACAUCAAGAAAAUUCAUCUAUGCAUUAUCUACCAAACAAGCAAGCUAUCUCCUAACUACUAAUAGUGGAUCAACAAAAUUCAUCUAUGCUGAAGAACAUCUGACUGAAAUCCAUCUCCCACUGCUCGAGUGACGAGAGAGGAGAGGGGGGAAGAAGUGAGGGGUGCAUACCGGGAGGUGUGCUUGCGGCGGCGGCGAGUUCCCCAUGCUCGGCGAGCCCCCACCACCGCCGGUCACCGCCUCCAUGCCCUGCCUCACCUCCGCCCCCUGCCGGCCCCGCCCCCGCCUCCGCUGCCGGCCCCGCCCCCGCCUUCGCCCCCUGCUGGUUGCUUCCGCCGCGAGGCCGUGGGCGAGGUCACCUGCGGCGAGGCCGUGGGCGAGGUCACCUGGUUGUUUCCGCCGCCGCCCGCCGCCACCUGGUCGGAAGACCUAGAAAAACGCUAAGUGUUGCUCUGUUCGAUGCCACCCGCCGCCACCUGGUCGGAAGGUCCCACUUGUCACUGGUACGUGAGAGCCGUGGUUUUAUAUACUAUAUGGAAAACUACCCACACAUUAGCAACAAUCUCUCUCUAGCCCAGUGGUAAUGAACGAGCGAACCCAGCACGAGGUCGUGGGUUCGAGUCCCCGCUAGCGCAUAUUUUUUAGGGAAUUAAACGCUCGCUCAACCACCUGUCAAAUGGGUCCCGCCUGUCAGUGUUGCAAAUCGUUGCUCUGUUCGAUGCCACCUGGUCGGAAGGUCCCACCUGUCAAUGAUAAGAGAGAGUCGUAGUUCUAUAUAAUGUAUAGAUAAACUCCCAGAUGUGAGCAACUGUACCUCUCUAGCCCAGCGGUAGCAUGCGAGCCAACCAAAUGCGAGGUCGUGGGUUCGAGUCCCGCCUCAUGCAUAUUUUUUGGGCGAAUUAAGGGCUCGGCCCCAUCUGUCAAAUGGGUCCCGCCUGUCAGUGUGUCCCCCGUCUAUCUGUUGAAUAUUAAAACUCAAGCAAAAAUGACACCUAGAUAGUGACACAUAAGCAAGGUUGCUGAGGUGGCUGCCUAAUCAUCCUAAUUCAUUCAAACUCAAGUGUAGUGACCAUUUUAUAUUAGUCGUUAUCAGCAACGCAUGAGGCAGUGGACAGUGCUACUAGCUUUACGACCAUUUCCUGUAAUGAAAUUAUGACCUUUCUAACCAAAAUGGUCGUUAUGGUUUAGGGUUUAGAGCCCCCUAGACAGCUUUUGACCAAUUGGUCUAAAAUGGUCAUAAAUUUAUGACCAAUUCUUCAAGGGUCACUGACAGAAGGUCAUAAGUUGACAUAUUUCUUGUAGUGCCCAAGAUGGGAUCUCGUGGAUACAGAAAGUUACGGCGGUGGAAUUAGGGUUUUGGCUCUGUUUCUGAUCGUUUGGGGGUACAUAGGUAUAUAUAGGAGGAAGAAGUAUGUAGGUGGAGCNNNNNNNNNNNNNNNNNNNNNNNNNNNNNNNNNNNNNNNNNNNNNNNNNNNNNNNNNNNNNNNNNNNNNNNNNNNNNNNNNNNNNNNNNNNNNNNNNNNNNNNNNNNNNNNNNNNNNNNNNNNNNNNNNNNNNNNNNNNNNNNNNNNNNNNNNNNNNNNNNNNNNNNNNNNNNNNNNNNNNNNNNNNNNNNNNNNNNNNNNNNNNNNNNNNNNNNNNNNNNNNNNNNNNNNNNNNNNNNNNNNNNNNNNNNNNNNNNNNNNNNNNNNNNGUAUGGUCCAAGUCUCCUGGAUCUUGUUCGUUCCAAAAAUCACGUUCCCGAAGGUUUCAUUCCGUUUGGACUCCGUUUGAUAUUCCUUUUCUUCGAAACCCUAAAAUAGGCAAAAAAACAGCAAUUCUGGGCUGGGCCUCCGGUUAAUAGGUUAGACCCAAAAAUAAUAUAAAAGUGUAUAAUAAAGCCCAAUAAUGUCCAAAACAGUAGAUAAUAUAGCAUGGAGCAAUCAAAAAUUAUAGAUACGUUGGAGACGUAUCACCGCACGACAUCAUUCUCCGGGAAGCCAAGGUUCUCGCCAGCUGCGACAUCCCGGCAUCGCCGGACACGUGUCUGCCGGCCGGAUGGAUUGUGGGUCAGGGGGUCGUCUGGUGGUGCAUGUCCCCGCCGUCAACUCGGUCGCCUUUGCGCACGCCGUCUGCAGGUUUCUGGCAGGUUUGAUACCGGAGGAGAGGGCGCAUGCAUCCGAACUUCGAGCCUAACAGCCUAUUAUGGCCGCAGAUCCUCGACCAGGGCUGCACCGCUCGGAUCCAGCACUUCGACGACCCCAAACCAAUGUCGCACUUAAACAUCGCCUGGCGACGUGCCUUCUGCGAUGGCCUUAGCUUCAAGGUUGUCAUCGCCGCGUGCCGCUCACAGGUUGACAAAGAAGAAUAGUUUCGAAUUUGGGAGUAGGGUCGUUCCGAACUUGUCAUUUAUUCAAAUAAAAUGUAUGAAUUCGUAUGCUAAAACUAGAUUGUAUUUCUAGUUGUUUUCAUGCACUUGGAAUGACUCAUGAUUUGUAUAAAUUUUGUUUGAAUAUGUGUGCAUAUCAGAAAAUGGAUGCAAAUUUGUAUGAUUAUCCAUGCAAUUUUGACACCAAUAUGAGAAAAAUAUAGAAAAUGAAAAAAGUCUCAAAAUUUAAAAUCCUUUUGCGUGGAGUCAUUUUAUGUUCAAUGGCUUGUGGGAAAAGUGAUAAACUAACAAUAUUACAAAUAAAAAGUUGAUUUUCCAUUUUUCUAGUGCCAUACAUGACUUUUUGUGAACAAUGUGCCUUAAAUAAUAAUAAAAAUUCCACCCUUAUAAUUUUCGCCUAAAGUAUACCACAUGGGAUUCUAACUGCCAAUUUUUAAUGAAUUUCAGAGUGAUAUUGCCAUAUUUCAUUGAUUUUUGUAAUCUCUAGCGAUUUACAUCAAGUAAUUCAAAUUUGAGCUGCAAGUGUGCUCUAGUUUGGUCCUAUGAAUUCUGAAAAAUCAUUUUCCGCUUCGACAUUAGGAAUUUAGCCAAUAUCCACAAAGAAAGCUCAGAUUUCCAACCAUUUUAUAUGAUCAGUCAUCUAUGCAAUUUUGACAUCAAUGUAUGAAAAAAUAUAGAAAAUGAAAAAAGGCUCGAAACAUGAAAUACUUUUGCAUGGAGGCCUUUUAUGUUCAAUGGCAUGUGGGAAAAUGACAAACUCACAAUAUCAUAAAUAAAAAAGUUAAUUUUGCAUUUUUCUAGUUUUAUACAUGACUCUUUUUAAGCAAGUGCCAUAACUAAUAUUUUAAAUUGUGUCGUUAUAUUUUUCAUCUAAAGUAUACCACAUGUGAUUCUGACUAUCAUUUUUUCAUGAAUUUCAGAGCGAUAUUACCAUAUUUCAUUGAUUUAUUGAAUUAUGUCGAUUUACAUCAAGUAAUUUAAAUUUGAACUACAAUUGUGCUCUAGUCUGGUCCAAUAAAUUCUGAAAAAAUCAUUUUCACCUUCCCCAUUACGAAUGUAGGCAAUAUCCACAAAGAAAUCUCAAAUUCCCAACAAUUUUAUAUGAUUAGUCAUCCGUGCAAUUUUGAAAAAACUUUGAAAGAAAUUACAGAAAAUGCAAAAAGGCUCAAAAUUUGAAAUCCUUUUGAACGGAGGCCUAUUAUGUGCAAUGGCUUUUGGGAAAAAUGAUAAACUGACAAUACCAUAAACUUGAAAAAAAACUUCACAAACUAACCUAUCUCAUAUGAAGAUCAAUGACUUUCAACCAAGAUGAUCAUGCCCGUUUUUGGAACUAAUAAAGGUAUUGCCAUUGUGAUCAAUCAUUACAAAAAAGGAUUGAAUAUUUGGUUAAUAAAAAAUUAUUUUCCAUUUUUCUAGUGCCAUGCAUGACUCUUUUUUGUGAAGCAGGUGCCAUAAAUAAUAUUAUAUAUUCUAAAAAAUCAUUUUUAGCUUGCACAUUUGGAAUGUAGGAAUUAUACACAAAGAAAAAUGUCAAGUUCCCAACCACUUUAUAUGAUUACUCAUCCAUGCAUUUUUUACAACAAUCUAAAAGAAAUUACCGAGAAAGAAAAAAUGCUCAAAAUUGAAAUUCUUUGGCAUGGGGGCGUUUUAUGUGCACUAGCUUGUGGGAAAAGUUAUAAACUGGCAAUACACAUCUCAGCAGACCAUGGGUUGGGUAAAAAAGAUCUUUCUCCCAUUUCCUUGCGCUCGCAAUGAAUUUCUUGUGAAGGAAGGACGAGAAAUUUCAGUACAUAAGGUUGCAAACACAUCUCGGAUCCAUAACAUUGGAAGAAAUCAACGAUAACCAAAACAAACAAUAGUAGAUAAGGUAGCAUCGAACACAUAAGGUAGCAUACACAUCUCGGAUCAACAACAUUGGAACAUCAACGAUGAAGAUAGCAAACUUCAGUACAACGAUAGAUAAAUAAAUCAGAUUUCCGUACAUGACAACUCCAAUUACACAACUAUGGGCGACCACUCAUCCUCCGACUUUGCUUUGUACACGAUAACCACUAAAACGUCGCUGGCUUCACUCAUAGUCUUUACGACGUAUGAAUACCUAUCCUCCUCUACAUACUCAUACUCCCGCACCAUCUGCUCGUCGGUAGUCGAAGCAGGCUUUGACAACCAAUCCUCGUCCUACUCCACCGUUUGUUCGUCUUCGGGCGUAGUCCUUUCGAUGGUCCUCAUAAAAUCCUCCACGUUAUCAGGCAUAAUUGUGUGUAGAAACAUACCAGGAGGAGGCUGCACGUAUCUCACCCCCGGAAGAGCUGCGAGCUCUCGUUUGACCUUUGGAUCCGACAGGUUGCGUCAAGACUCGUAUGAAUACCAUCGAGCUCGCUAACGGGGAUCCGACAACUCCAUUGCCUCACACAUCGCCCAGACAAAAACCCUGAUACAAGUCAGCCCAUUUACUCGAUCUGGAAUUAUCCGCGGGAUCUCGCCCGGUCUCACGCCUAUCCAAAAUUGCAACGCAUGCUCCGCCAGAGCUUUCGUACUUGGAAACCAGGAGUAGAUCUCCUUGCACUUCUCCAAUAAGACAUCGUCACCAGCGGAGAACACCUCCAACGGGGUCGUCAUCACCGACGGCAGCCGCUGGAUUGGGGGUGGGAAGUGGGAGGUGCAGGUGGGCUGCUCAGGCCAUGGGGGAUGAGAAAUGAGAGAGACAGAGAUAUUUCAUCCCCUUUUUUCAAACAUAUGACGCAUCCGUCCACUAAUCAGUCCCACAUGUCGGCAUUUAAGGUAUGUCCCACGCUUCAGCACCGGGUGAAGUAACAUUCAACAACUUUGACCCAGCAGCAAGGCACCGUUUGGCCUUUUGUGGGGCGUAGACAAGUAGAGGAAGGGGAAGGUGAGCAAAGUUAGAUUGGCGUGGCAAAACUGAGCACAAUUAAGGAAGGAGGGAAACAAAAAUAGAAAUGUCCAAAGUUAAUAGGUUAGUCCAUAUAAAUAAUAUAUAAUGGCAUAUAAAGCAUACAAAAUGAUAAUAUAAUAGCAUCAGACAAUCAAAAAUUGUAGAUAUGUUACAGGCGUAUCACACACCUCAAACCUCGAUCUGUCAUACACUGUGUUCAGCACCACAAUACAUUACGAACUGAGUUUUAAGCCCCGGUUCUGCACACACAUGUUUCGAAUCCUAAAUUGCAUUAUUGCGACCUAAGUCACUUAAUCUAAUAGUAACCUAAAUACAUGAACGUGCAAGUAUGAGGGCAACAUCUAGAAACAUACGUGUAUGCGAAACACAGAUAUGCGUAUUCCAACAGACCACGUGGGUAUUAACGUGCGAAUACCCCAAACAAACAAACAUGAUAAGGGUGACAAAUAAGCAGAGAUACUUGAUCUGAUCAUGGGUAGUGCCUCUAUUUGUAAGAUUGUUACUAUAUCCACGAUGGCGCGCGUUGCCGCACCCGUCUAUUUUGACAAUAUAGUGAUAAUAACUUCCAUAAGUAUAUAAGGGAGUUCUUGAUAAACCAAAUUGGAAAGUAAAGUCAUUUUUAUCCGAGACAAAAUUUUGCAUUACUCAUUAGAAAUUAGCAAGGUAAAAUGAUUGGCAUCACUUGUCCAAUAGUCAACAUCCAUCAAUUCACCAUCAUAAAAUUAGACAUACAAAGCAAGAAGAUAUAACAUCAUUCAUCCACAUCACAUACUGAUAUGUGGACUUUACAACCACUGGUAGCAAUACUUCCAUGGCAUGUGCUUGUACCUUGGAACGGUGUCCUCCUAAUAUGGAUCUUUUGGUGCUUCCAUUACCUGUGCUUGUCAAAGAAAUGUGCCUUUCCCAACCUGGAUCUUUCGAUCAAAUACAACCACAUCCUACAUUAGUACAGCACAAAUAAUUAAUAUGCAGCAAUAUGAUAUAAGAAAGCAUGUAGAUUUACUAAUUAUGUAUCUUUGAUCUUAUAAUAAAAUGAAGAUAUCUUAGCUUGGGUUGUAACGAAAUACACGAAAUGUUGUACUCAUAAUUGCAUGUAAUCGUACACAUGGUCAAAUAGUUUGCCAACUUUCUAGUUUGUGGAAUAAGAGGAACACAUGGAUUAACUAAAUCUCACAAACUGAGGGAGCUCUACAGCUAGAGAAGAGCACUGUAGCAAAACUUCAAAGUGCCGAAGUUGGUUAAGUCAGAGUCUAUCCUAAACAGGCAGAACAAAGAGAGUUAUUCCAUGGGAUAACAACCUAACCAGGAAAGUCAAGAGCUACAAAUAGUUCCAAUUGUAACAUUGUGUUCUCUUGGUACUUCUCACGGAAUUAGUAAACUACAUUACCCAUACGAACGAUAAGUCCACUACAAAUAUAGUAAAAAAGGAGAAAUAUUCAAUUUAUUAUUGUCAUAGAUGGUCAUGAUGAUCGAAGCUGGCCAAGCUUCAGAAACGAUAAGCUCAUAACCUAAAGAAUAUUAUUCUUUACUUAUUUUCUCCGAGCCUAAAUAUUUUCCUAGUACAAUAAAAGUAAUGUUUAGUGGGCUCAGGCUGCGCUAGCGGGACGAAAUCUUAGUCAUGGACCCAGGCUCACCUAUGAAAUAGCCUGCAGUCAUGUUAAUGGUUCAACUAAUUGAUGGACAACAGAAAAUGGAAAAAACCAUAAAAGUGCAAGGAAAAGGGCUCACAUAUGGCUCAUAGUAAGUAUUGUAACACAUAUAUCAAUGGUUAUCUCUGCUAGAAAUUUUACCUAGAGGAAACAAGCAAGUGCAGAGUCACAAAAAUAUCACUACCGGACUCGCGGUCUAUGCCUACGGCCACGGGCCGUCGGCAUAGGCCCCUAAGCCGUCGGCAUAGAUCUAUGCCUACGGUUGCCGUCGGCAUAGGCCCGUCGGCGUAGAUGUCGUCAGCGUACUCUUGUUAGACCGUUGGCAUAGUAUAGCCGUCGGCAUAGGGGCCUAUGGCGACGGCUUGAUGUCAGCCGUUGGCAUAGUAUCGCCGUCGGCAGUGUUUUUCGUCUGACGGCAACGGACGGUGCUAUCAAAAGCGCUGACGAAUCGCCGUCGGCAUACCUCUGCCACGUGGCAACCCCUGGUACUCCUGGUGGCAGGGCUAUGCCUACAGCAAAGCCGUAGGCAUAGAUGAAUCUAUGCCGACGGCUUUGCCGUAGGCAUAUCUAUGCCGCGUGUCAUCUCCUGGUUCCUCCUGGCAGUAGGGCUAUGCCUACGGCAAAGCCGUCGGCAUAGAUUUUCAGCUAUGCCUACGGCUUUGCUGUAGGCAUAAAAAGUCUAUAUUCAUAAUAAAUAAGACAAGUGAUAUUGCAAAAACUGAAUAAAAGAAACUAUAUUCAUAAUAAAUGAAGCAUUGCAAUUAUUUGGCCUGAAUAAUAAACGAUCGACUUUAUUAAUAUGAAUGUCAACUACAAGCAUUCAGGAAUUACACUUAGAGGAAAAGGAAAUAAAAGAAGCAAGGAAAAGUCCUAAACUAAACCUAUACUAAACUAUCUACUUCAUCUUCUGCUUCUUUCUUCUGGUUCAUCAACCUGCAAAACAAGAAACAACAAAUAGGAAAAACUUGAUUAAGGUUAAAAUGUAGCAUUCCCCUUAUGGAAAUGCCUUUGCUGUAGGAGCUAGCACUUAGGAGUUUGGAAACAUUAGUCAAACCCCAAUCAGAUUAAGUUGAUAAAAGAAACAUUAGAAGAGAGCUAACACUGCAUAAAUGGAGCCAAUGGAACAGUAACCAGCAAGGCCAAAAGGAAUAGGUUCAAUUGGCAGUAAAGAAUAACCCCAUAGAGAAGUAAAGCCAGCAAAGUAUAGAUCAAAGCUAAACCCAAAGAUCAACUCUAAUUAGCACUAACUCCAUGAUUAGGGGAUCCCUCGAUUAAGCUUGGGUUAGUUUUCAGAUGAAAUCCAACUAACCCACUACUAACCAACUAACCCAGAGGUAGGGUUUGAAGUAGGGAUUGUCCUCAGGCAACCUAGUAGUGCUAGGACUAUUGCAUCAUUGGAUCAAGUAGUGCAGCAUCUGCUGUUAAGUAAUGGUGAGAGCCUCAGGACACCAUCAUUGGCAUGGCAAGACUAAGGAGCACCUGUUCUUAUCAGUGAGAGUAUGAGAGAGAGAAAGAAAGUGAAGAGACCAGUGUAGCAUCUGUUCAAAUCAGAUUUAAGAGAGGGAGUUGGUAAGGAAAGAUACAGUCCAUAACCUGCAAGAAUAAAUAGGCCAUUGAUAGCACAUUUACUAAACAUCUGCCAUAAGCAGAAGUGCAGAACACAUACACCCACUUACACAUGGGUACUAUUCUGUAUAUAGGUACUAAACCAUACAAGAAAUACCAAUACAUGGUAUUUAGAUAAAGACUAGUAUAUAUCAAACACACAUACCAGCUUGAAAGAGAAACUAUAAUUUUAUACCACUACAGGAGCAAAUCAUGAACAAUACAGAGUAAUUGCAGUAAAGAGAUGAAUUAGUAUAUGUUGAUCAAUAAGAAAGUUACAGCUAUAUACAAAUGAAGGACUAUAUCCUUUAUAAGAUAACAAAGAAACAGUAGCACUUGUACAUAUGAAUAAAUAGAACCAGCAGCCAACUAAUAAAGAAACUAGCAUGUGAUAUAGGAUAGGAACAAUAACAUCUAUAAGACCAAGAUAAUUGCAGUGAUAGACCAACAGUAGCAUAGAAUUUCUUGUAAUCAGUCCAUAGACAUGAACUAGAACUAGAAUAUGAACAUGUAAAGCAGCAGGAGCAUAAGUAGACCAAAGUCCACAUUGCCAAAUCCAUAAAGAUAGCACAAUAAUCAAUUGAGCUAAUAAUAGGUGAGACAACCUUCACCAAGCACUAACAGGACACGCGGAGCAGCAUCAAAUCGACCAUGACAUGCUCGAAGAGAGUAGUAUGAGCAGGGGAGCAGAGGGAUUGAGGAGCUUACCAUAAGCAACGCCACCACCAUGGUUGCGGUGUGGCCAAAUCACCGUCGUCGCACGGUGGCAGGCGAUAAGGUAGUCGAGGCUGACGGAUCUGGGGCAGUAGCACCACAGGCAAAAACCAGGAGGCGCUGGUGCACAAGGAGGCACGGGAGGUGGCGCAGGCGACAAGAUCCACGAGCAAGAGCACGCCGACGACAAACCUCUCCCCACCAUCGAAACCCUAGAGAGGGAGAACCGAUGGGGGCGACCACGGGCGGUAGGGAGAAGCGAAUCGAAUGAGUGGAGGAGGUAGAGCGGCUCAAUGAGGAGCCUUGGGUAGCUAGCUCAGCGACAGAGCUCGCCGGAGUAGGCUGGAAUCGGCCGGUGACCGAGGCGGCGAUGUGAGGCGACGAAAGAGAGAAGGGGAUCGAGAGAUAGGGGCUCGGGAUCGAGAGAGAGGGGCUUGGAUCGAGAGAAAGGGGCUCGGGAGCUCGCCGGUGCCUGACCCGCCGCCCGCUGGCCUCGCCGUCGCCGGGGGUGAGGUGGCGGCCGAAACCCUAGCUAGCACGGGGGACGAUGGAGGGCGGGAGCGCCGAUUCUGGACGGAGAGGAAGGAGGCGUGGAGCUUGGGGAGCUCGGGGGAGUGCUUCCUGUCGCCGGAGCUCACCGGAAUAGGCCGGCGUGGGUGGUGGCGGCAGCGAGGGAGAGGGGUUCGUGGGGGAGAGAGGAGCGAGGAGCGAGGUCGCGAGACAGAGAGGGAGGAGGCGUUCGGUGGAGUUGGGUGGGCUCUAUCUUGUGGGCUCUUUUUUUUCUCCUUUUCUCUAGAUGGAUGGAUGGAUGGCUGGAUGGAUGUGGGGUGGAGAGCUAGAUGGAUGGAUAUGCGCCACAUCAUCGAUCCAUGGCACAAACGUUUCCACCAAUAGGAAUCAAGCUCAUGCAAUUGUGUUCUCCCUUUUGUUUUUUCUAAAUUUUUUUACUCUCUUGGACCGCUGAAGGAGGGCAAGUGCUAACCGCGUCCACGCCGGUGAAGGGUCUGGCGUCCUCUGGCCUCGCCGCCAUCGGAGCAGCGCUAGAGGUGGAGGCCAUCGAAACCCUAGCCACGAGGUAGGGUUGUGGGUGGACGGAAGGAGCGGAUCGUGACACAUGGAUGGACGCGGCAGGACGAGGUCCGGCGGACCCGGCUGCCGGCGAUCUGUGAGGGGAGAGGAGGAUCACAGCGGCAUGCCAGAUGCAGCCACUUGUAAACUGCACCAUCUUCGAGUUAGUAUCUGGCUAUCGAGAGGGAACGUGUCCGGUUUAUGAAGGAAGUGUGUUGCCCGUUGCUCCGUUGACCUCGAAACUUCUUGUGCUCUCAAAUGGGGGCAUUUCAUGACACGUUCCCGGGCAUAGCAUUUUUUGGGACCGCCUGGAAUAUUUGAGACAUUUACUGCAUCUGUAGGGCUUCAAUGUGGAAAAAUGCAGAUCUGCACGGUGGCCACCUGAAAUGAUGUCAAUAAGUGGUUUGUAAAUCAUAUAUGAUGUCUUUGCAGUAUGCGUAGGCCUAGUGCAACGAAAGGAGGAGGAGCCAUACCACUGGGGGGCGAAUGUACCUUGGCGGCAUGUCGGAUCUAGCCGUAAAAAUCCACGGAAAAUCAUACAAUGCUGGAAAUCCUCGGGACCUGGCACGGUGUCAUCAUAUGGCCCUUGUAAGGUGUGGUAAAAAUUCGAGCGUGUUUCGCAGAAGUCUGACCGGCGGCCACUUGUAAACCGCACCAUCUUUGGGUUAGUAUCUUGCUAUAGAGAGAUAAUGUUUCGGUUUGUGAAGGAACUACGCUGCCCGUUGCUCCGUUGACCUUGAAAAUUUUCAUGCUCUCAAAGGGGGCCAUUUCAUGAAACGUGCCAGGACAUGGCAUUUUUGGGCACGCCUGGAAUAUUUGAGACAUUUACUGCAUCCGUAGGGUUUCAAUGCGGGAAAUCACAUAUCUGCACAGCGGCCACCUGAAAUGAUGUCCAAAAGUGGUUUGUAAAAUCAUAUAUGAUGUCUUUGCAGUAUGCGUCGGCCUAGGAGGAGCAACCCCACCACGGGGAGGGGCGAAUGUACCUCGACGAGAUGUCAGAUCUAGCCGUAAAAAUCCACGAAAAAUCAUACGAUGUCGGAAAUCCUUGGGACCUGGCACGGUGUCGUCAUAUGGCCCUUGUAAGGUGUGGUAAAAUUUGAGCGCGUUUCGCAGAAGUCUGACCGGCGGCCACUUGUAAACUGCACCAUCUUCAGGUUAGUAUCUUGCUAUAGAGAGAGAAUGUUUCGGUUUGUGAAGGAACUGCGCUGCCUGUUGCUCCGUUGACCUCAAAAAUUCUCAUGCUCUCAAAGGAGGCCAUUUUAUGACACGUGCCAGGACAUGGCAUUUUUCGGGCCCGCCUGGAUUAUUUGAUAAAUUUACUGCAUCCGUAGGGUUUCAAUGCGGGGAAUUGCAGAUCUGCACGACGACCACCUGAUAUGAUGUCCAGAAGUGGUUUGUAAAAUCAUAUAUGAUGUCUUUGCAGCAUGCAUAGGCCUAGUGCAACCAAAGAAGGAGGAGCCCCACAACUGGGGGGCGAAUGUACCUUGGUGGCAUGCCAGAUCAAGCCGUAAAAAUCUGUGGAAAAUCAUACGAUGCCGGAAAUCCCCGGGACCGGGCACAGUGUCUUCAUAUGCCCCUUGUAGGGUGUGGUAAAAGUUUGAGCGCAUUUCGCAAAAUCCUGACCGGAGGCCGCUUGUAAACUGCAACAUCUCCGAGUUAGUAUCUAGCUAUCGAGAGAGAACGUGUCUGGUUUGUGAAUGAAAUGCGUUGCCCGUUCCUCCAUUGGCUAUUUCAACCCUCCAUCACACAUGUAUACAUAUAUUAAGACACAAUGCAAGUUUGGGUACCAUUGAUACCCCCAAGGCCCCCGACCGACCUAAUCCUAGCCCGGUUGACCCGAGGAUCUAGGCCUUUGACUUUCACCGAACGGCCUUUGACCAACGUACUUUUCCACCUGGUUGUGAUAGGUCAGCCCAUAGGAACAUUUCAAAACAAGGUCUGGGCCCAACACACCAGCGGACCCCCCUCGUGUCGACCCGAUGCGGCCAUUCCCCCCCCCCCCACUGCAAGUGUCGGCGGCAGCGCCUUCCGUGAAGGGGGUCACAUUCCGGAGCCGCGUGUCGUUUGUUUGCACCUGACAGCACACUUCCAGACAUGUAAGAGGACCUGGCGCAAGAUUUGAUGGCAUAGCUAGCCCCCAAAGGCCCCCGACCACACUCGUAGACAUGCGAAGAACAAUCCAUGGUGGGGGAUUUUUUCACAUACUCCUGCAUCUUACAAAAAUAUAAGAAAUUGCCACACAUAUUAUAUCAUAUGUGUCUGCACUGUGUAAAAAUCUCAUGAAUUGAUUACGCUUCAAGUGUUCAGGAAUAUUCAUGCAACGCCAAAACCGCAGAAGGAUUACUUCGAUUGCAUCGCCGUUCAUGAGGGCAAACCUCACACCGGAGCCACGUAUUGCCUCUUUAGACAUGGCACCACAUCUUUCGACGUGUAUGAGGACUCGGCGCGAUGCUCUGGUGGCAUUGCCCCCCCCCCCAAGGCCCCCGGUCAGUCGAACCCUGGACAAGUUGACCCGGAAAUCUACGCCUUUGACUUUCACCGGACGAUCUUUGACCAAUGGACGUUUUCACCUGGUUGUGAUAGGUCGGCCCAUAGGAACACUUGAGAACAAGGUCUGGGACAAACCCACCAUAAGAUUCCCUUCGUGUCAACCCGACAUGGCCGUUUCCUCCCUCCAAGUGACAACGGCAUCGGCGUCCAUGAAGGGUCACACUCCUGAGCCAGUUGCCUUUGCACCCGCCACCACAAUCCUUGAAACAGUCUGAUGAAGCAAACAUGAUUNNNNNNNNNNCCCCCCCCCCCAAGGCCCCCGGUCAGCCGAACCCUGGACAAGUUGACCCGGAAACCUACGCCUUUGACUUUCACCGGACGAUCUUUGACCAAUGGACGUUUUCGCCUGGUUGUGAUAGGUCGGCCCAUAGGAACACUUGAGAACAAGGUCUGGGACAAACCCACCAUAAGAUUCCCUUCGUGUCAACCCGACAUGUCCGUUUCCUCCCUCCAAGUGACAACGGCAUCGGCGUCCAUGAAGGGUCACACUCCUGAGCCAGUUGCCUUUGCACCCGCCACCACAAUCCUUGAAACAGUCUGAUGAAGCAAACAUGAUUUAAGUUUGUUCAAAUUUGAAACAUAGUAUAGCACAUAAUCCUUUCAAGAUUCUGAUAAAAACCAUAUGAAUUUCGUCAAAAUCAAUCCAAGUAUCAAUUACUUAUGAUUUUAAUAAAGUAGAAGGACCUAUAUGCAAAAGUACAGGAGGCCACAUUUCUAACAUACUCAAAAACAAAAACAAACUGGAUAUUCAUAAUCUAUGGAAAAUUCUACCCUAAAUCGAUGUAUAAUUUGUGUAUGUUUAAGUUUAGAUAAGUUAGAUUUAAAUUAAACAAAAUUUAACUUAAAAAAUAAAAAUAAUUUAAAAUAAAAACAAAUAAUAUCUAUGCCUACAGCCAUGCCAUAGGCAUAGUUCUCGGCUAGGGGCUGCCAGGAGGUGCCACGUGGCGCGGCUAUGCCUACGGCAAGGUCGUAGGCAUAGAUGGAAAACUAUGCCUACGGCUUUGCCGUCGGUAUGAUCUGGCACGUGGCAGCUCCUAGUAAAAAAAUAUAGAUAAUAUCUAUGCUGACGGCCGCCGUCAGGGCCGUCGGCAUAGAUUUAACGGCGUCAGCCCGCCGUUUGUCCCUGGGCCACCAGGGCCACAUCUAUGCCGACAGCCUAACUAUGCCUACGGCCACCGUAGGCAUAGAUUGAUAUAUGCCGACGGCCUAACUAUGCCUACGGCUGCCGUAGGCAUAGAUGGAGGUAUGCCGACGGCUUCUCUAUGCCGACGGCUUUUCCCAAGCCGUUUGCGUAGCUCGAGUUAUGCCGACGGCCCCGACAAAAAGCCAUCGGCAUAGAUAAGGCCGUGGGCAUAGAGGAUUAUUCCGGUAGUGUAUGUGAUACAAAAAGUUUGAGAAUGGUAAGUCAGUAAUGGGUAAAGCAACUAUGACACCAAUUUAAAAGAGUUCUAGAUAUCAAUCGUUACAGUGCUAAACUCACAAAUCAGGUAGACUCAGAAAAUAAGAAGAAAACAAUCUGUAACAAUAUCUAUUGAGUUAAACCUCCCCUCAAAUAUCCAGUAUAAGCAUUACUCUGUACAAAAAGAGCUUUCAAGAAGCAAUCUAUCAUCAUGUAAGCCAGAGCAAUCAACAUUUAACAUACUAUAUGUUCCACCGUUAUUGACUUUGCCCUAUCUCAGAAGUUAAAAUUUGACUAUUUAUUUUGUGCGAAUUCAUUUAUUAAAUGGGAAGGAAAUGCAUGGUGACCAAAAAAUGUAGGAAACCUGUAACCACACAACUUUUUUUAAAUACCAUCAGCGAAAGUUUUCAGGGUUUGAUUAGUCGGACACUGGGGGAGCACUUUAUGAGGUUUGUAGGUUGAAUCCACCGCAAGAUGUAUAAACCUUAUUACUUAUAAGCAACUAAAGCCUCUUACCUUUAAGAUUAUAUGUGCCGUCAUUUAUGACAAAGCUUCAUCCAAGCUGAAAGCAAAAUUUCCCAAACUACAUGGGCACCGCCAUCACAAUACCUCCGAGAAAUUCCAAGUUUUCCCACCUUCCAAUUUUUUUCGAAAUCUUUUAUUUUGCUAGAUGAGCAAGAUUCCUGUCAUCCCAUGGAAGGCAUUCAAGAAUUAUGCGAGCCAAAUAAAAUGUUACGUAAAAAACUUGACUAUUUUGGAAUGUAAAAAUUUAAAUUGAGAUGCUCACUAACAUCAUUUUUCAAAGAUGGAAUUCCACUUUUUUUACCAAAUUAGUACAAAGAAAAGAAUUAAUGUAACACUGGAUAACUUAAAAGAGGCACGUAACCAUCCUCGUUGUACAUCCCAGCUUCUAGUAUAGUUGCUGCACAGCAAAUCAGAAAGUGGAUUGGUUACUGUACUAAUUUCAAGAGAUGAAGAGAGAAAUUAAAAAUAGUAAUGAAUGCACAAAAUAAAUAAGAGAAACACAUAGAUGUUGGUAAACCUGGUUAUACAACUGAUUCUUGAAUUUUUCUGCAUGUGGUUUCCCCUCAGAUUUAAAUGCAUAAGAAACUUGAGCAUCAACUCCUGUGACAGAAUUGAAGUAUUUUCCAAGUACGAACCUUUCAUUGUUAAAGCAAACAAAAAAUCAUAUUCUUUUCUUUCUGCUCAAUUCUGUAAAAGAGAAAGAACCAAUUAAAAAAGUAUCACCAACAUAAAUUUUACACUUCAGAAAACGAUCAAACUGUACAUAAAAGAAUUAAGAGAAAUUUGAGUUUAUUUGGAAUAUCUUGAACAAGUAGAAAAAAAUGAUUAAAUAGAUACAAUGGAACUCACAUGAUUAAAUCGAGUGUACCAGUGAUAAUUGUGAGGGGCCUUGUAUCAUGUCAAAGCUCUCGCGUAAAGCAGAUAUUCUAAGACCUAGCAAGCUGCAUGAGAGUGUCUACAGCCAUUUCUUUUGGGAUGAUUCUCGUGUUUUCAUGGUCUGAAGCAUGGCAUUCCCCUGUGGCCUAGGCAUAUGGCAUAAGGGGGAAGGAGAACUGUACCUGUAGGCAAGCAACUACCAACAUGGAGCAAGUGCAGCAGGGCGGCGGCCAUCUUGAGAUGUACCUGUAGGCAAGGACGACCAGCGUGUAGUAAGUGCAGCAGGGCAGAGGCCAUCUUGGAACUUGGAUGGCAACAGACAUGUGGCUGACGACCUACUUCACAAGCAGGAAGAGAUUCAGAUCGGGUCCGAAGGACCAGAACGGUGAAGUCGGUGCCUAGCCUAGGUUUUCCCCGAGAGGUGUCUGCUGCAACCACAUAGUAGCCCUUGAGAAUUCAACCAGCGCGCCACGACAGCCGCUUCCAAACCCCUCUCCUUCCCCGCAUCGGCUUCCUACAUCGCCUCGCCCUGCAUCGAUCGGUGAAGCCCUACACCGCCUCGCCCCGCAUCGAUCGGUGAAGCACGCGUGGCUUCGUGUCGCUUCGCAUCAGGCGAUCACUCGCACACGAGGGAUUGGAAUGAGACUGGUUUGGUCGGUGACGGAGGAUGCACAGAAGUAGGAGAGACACACAGACUUGUAGAGGACGGAUGGAGGAAGUGACUCCGGCCGCCUCCUUCGCCAUGAUCUCCUAUUUUUGUGCGAGAUUUGGAGGCUCGGUCUAGAAGGGCAGCGAUCUGAGUAGCUCCACUCCGCAUGAUGUGCUUGGCGAUCCGUUUGGCCCGCCGUUGACAUUUUCACCACACCUCUCUCUAUUUCUCUCUGCGGAUACGACCACAGCGGCGGCGCACCUGGAGGGAUCGGUUGGAGUGGAGGGUGCGGGGAGGGGAUUCUUCCUGUUGCAUCUUGAGGGUAAAAACGUGAGAAGGAGGAUGGCGGCGGCUGGGCGAAGAAGAGGCGUCCUUCCACGGAUGGGGAUGGGGAUUUCGGCGGUUGCUGGGCAAUUGAAUCCCAGACGAGAGACGAGAGACGAGAGGACAGGCCGUUAGGGAGUGGGGGCGAGGGGAGGACUGCUCAUGCCCGGCAGGCCCAAACAACAGCAGAUCGCUGAUUUUGUUGCCGGAGCAUCGGCCCAGUCCGUUUAGGGCUCCCGGCUGGGUGGAAGGUGCAUCCAACGGCCAAAAACGCCUAGAAGUGCAGAUCCGACGGUUGAGAUACUAAUAGCCUGAGAGGGCUGGAAAAGUGCUCGGUUGUAAUGUUUCUAAAUGAGACCUACGAUCCACAUGUGACACAAAUAGAACUCCACAAGCACUCUCCUAAAAUUAGUUGACUUAACAUUGCCUAUUUUGGGAUUUCUAUUCUCUCCCUGCAAAAUGUCUCCACUUCUUAUCUCUACUACUCAUCCUUGAUCUUUAAUUAUAUAGAACUAGAGAUAGUUGUCUCCUUGAAGGGAGCACCUUAUUUAUAGGACUGGUAGAAGAGACCGACGAAUUAAUCACGUGACAUCUGACACUAACCAAACUCCACAACCCUUUGUACUAAAAUUAACAUACUCCACUAUUUGAGAUUUAUUUUCUCCCCAACCAAAAUAUCUCCACUACUUAUCCUUGCACUUUUGACAUAGCCUGUUUUUUCAAAGAGAAAAUAGAACAGGAAACAUCGCAAAGUCUAGAAAUAUCUUGUCACACGUUUUUAACUAAUCAAGAAUUUGGGGUUCAUUGAGAAACAUGCACGUGCAUGGGAUCGUGAGGAAGGCAGCACGGGUCCGUCAGGAGUGGCGGUUACCACUCCAACAAGAAAGGAGGCUAUUGGACGCACGUCGAUCUGGAGUCCGAUUCAGUGUGUUUUUUGUUGAUGCUUCUUUCACUCAUUUAGUUUCAGUUAUAAUUUACAUACACCAGUUUCUUGAAAUGACUGAAAUUAAUUAUUUGCAAUGAGUGAAAUUAUCUUUUGGAAAUAAUUGAAACAUGUCUUUCAAUAGAAAGGAGUGAAAUUGGUUUUUUGAAAUGAAAGAAAUCUUUUUAGAAUGAUUGAAAUAUUUUUUUAAAUAAGUGAAAUGUAUUUUUUGAAAUGAUUGAAAACAAUCUUUUAAGUGUGUGAAAUCCGGUUUUAUGAAAUGAAUGAAAUCCAAGAGAUUUUAUUUCAAUCAUUCAUAUAUUUUAAACUAUAGUUUCAUUUUUGAUUUUUUUAAAUAUAUUGAGCUCCUGGUACCAACACCUUCAGAGUAAGACUAAUCUUUGAUACAUUUAAAACACGUUUAAAUUCAGUGUUUCAAGCUAGUUAUUUCACUCAAUGUAUUUCAGUAUGUGAAACUGGUGAUUUGUCAAGCUGGUUACUUAUGUGUGAAAUUAGUUAUUCGAAAUCGGUAUGUGAAACUUUCACUAGACCUGGCUGAGCUCUCUGGGAUCCAGUGGCCGUCCAUUAGCGCUCAUAAUUUGUCUAAGAUAGUUUUCAGUACAUAUAGUCCCUUACAUUUUGCUACUUUUAUAAAUGUAUUUUCACAUUCUCAUUUUAUUUUCUGCUAAGUGUUUACUGGCAGUUUAUUUUUAUGUUUAGAUAUACAAGUUCACUAAAUGUCACCUUCACUCCUGACUGUAACCUAUCUCUCGAAACCACCAUGCGUAACAUAACAAAGUGCUUUGCACACUCUUAAUAAAAAAAGAUAUACUCAUUUAUUCUACACACACACAUUUGUCAUGCUUACUCUACAUUAUUAUUCUCUUAUAUUCUGUUACACACCGAUCCGUCAUAUAUUACGAAUCCAGUUUUAAACCCGAGUUCUUUACACACAUGUUCUUAAUCCUAAACUGCAUUGUUGCCACCUAAAUACAUGAACAUGCAAGUAUGAGGAAAACUUCCAGAAACAUGCAUGUAUGCAAAACACGAAUAUGCGUAUUCCGACAGACCACGUGGGGAUUAACGUGCGAAUACCCAAAACAAACGAACAUGAUAAGGGCGAUGAAUAACCGUCUUGAUCCGAUCUUAGAGAGUGCCUCUAUUUGUAAGAUUUUUAUGACACCUACGAUCCACAUGUGACACAAAUAGAACUCCACAAGCACUCUACUAAAAUUAGUUGACUUAACAUUGCCUAUUUUGGGGUUUCUUUUCUCUCCACGCAAAAAGUCGCCACUACUUAUCUCUUCUACUCAUCCAUGAUCUUUAUAUAGAAGUGGAGAUAGUUGUCUCCUUGCAGGGAGCACCUCUAUUUAUAGGACUGUUAAUUACAAGACCGACGACUCAAUCAUGUGACAUGUGACACCAACCAAACUCCACAACACUCUGUACUAAAAUUAACAUACUCCACUACUUGAGAUUUCGUUUCUCUCCAACCAAAAUAUCUGCACUACUUAUCCUUGAUCUUUUGACAUAGCCUUUUCUUUUGAUCAAUCAAAAAGAGAAAAGAGAAAUAAAUCUCANNNNNNNNNNUUUUUUAGCACAACUGCGACUACAUCUAUAGACCAGUAGUUCACCACUUCACUGGAAAGUGCGUUUGAAAUUGUAGCAAAGUUUUCUUACUUUCGUAACAACUAAAGCGCAUUCUCUCCUUUACUCUUAUUCCGGCAUGGAUCCCACUAAGCAUCUAGGCAAGGGCGAUUUCCAAAUCUUUUCCAGCACAACAUAUAAAGCACGCCUUCUACUGGAGAACAAAUCAACAAAAAUAUCCAUGAUAUCCUAAUUGAUCGUGCCCUUGGGUCUGAUGGUUUUCUCGAAAAAAUGUUGGAACGUAAUAGAAGAUGACUUCCCAACUCUUUCCCCCUUGAAUUCAUUAACGAUUAUAAUCUUGUUUCACACCUACUCCAUCCGUUCCCUAAUAUAAGAUCUUUUAACUUUUUCUUGAUUCGUAUGUAUCUAGACACAUUUUAGUAUGUAUGUUCACUCAUUUUAGUGUGUAUGUAGUCAAUAUUUUGAAAUGGCUACAAGGUAUUAUAUUAGGGAACAGAGGGAGUAAAUUCUAGGCAUUAAACUCGUCACUAUGAUCCUUGUCGGCAGAUUCCAAGGGAAGCAUUCUUCAACUCACUCACCAAAAUCAUAAUGGUUUCAUAAGUGGUGGGACCAUCAAGACCGCCGCCUCACUUGGAAGUUUAGAAUUUUUACACCAAUCCCAGCAAUCAAAAUGGAAAAUAUUGUGCUUAAAAUUGAUUUUGAGAAAUCCUUCCACAUCAUUGAGCACAACACCAUCAUCAGGGUUUUGGAGAAUCUAGGCUUUAAUAAGCGUUGGAUUGGAUGGAUUGACUCCAUUCCCUCCAUUGGUACAUCUUUUAUGCGUCUUAACGGUGUCCUUCAAAAGAAGUUUCAUUUCGGCAUGGGACAGACAAAGAGUCCCUCUCUCAUGUCUCCUCUUUGUUGUCGUCUAACCUCUCCCAAACCAUUAGUAACAAUGCAUGUCAACUGAAAUUGCUCAAGCUCUCUCUCCCAAUCUCAAACAAAAAUUUCUUCGUCGUUCACUAUGUUGAUGAUAUGCUUCUUGUACUGGAGGCUUGCCAUCUGAAAUUCCUUUGGUUUGAAGGUGUCCUAUAAUCUUAUGGUCAAUCCACCGGUCACAUAGUCAACUUUCAAAAGUCAUUCCUCCUUCUUAUCAAUGUGGCACCCCAGCUCAGAGGAACUGGAACACCCCAUAUUCCAGCCCAGAGAUCAGGUCUUCUGUAAUACGACACUGCUUGGCAUAGAAUAAACCAGCUCUUAUUACAAAUGAUUGUUGGGGAAUGUAGCAUGCAAUUUCAAAAAAAAUCCUACGAUCACGCAAGAUCUAUCUAGGAGAUGCAUAGCAACGAGAGGGGGAGAGUGUGUCCACGUACCCUCGUAGACCGAAAGCGGAAGCUUUUAACAACGUGGUUGAUGUAGUCGAACUUCUUUUCAUUUCCGACCAAUCAAGCACCGAACGUACAGCACCUCCGAGUUCUGCACACAUUUAGCUUGAUGACGUCCCUCGAACUCUUGAUCUAGCAAAGUGUCGAGGGAGAGUUUCGUCAGCACGACGGCGUGGUGAUGAUGAUGGUGAAGUGAUCCGCGCAGGGCUUCGCCUAGGCACUACGACAAUAUGACCGGAGGCGUAAACUGUGGAGGGGGCGCCGCAGAUGGCUAGGAAUCAAUGUUGUGUAUUCUAGCACCACCCAAGGCUACCAGGAGGUAGUAAGCAGCUAUUGUAUGGAGUCAAGUAAAUCAGUAAUAAUAUGCUCUUUGGAGGGUUUCACUAUAUAUCUAAGAUUGGAAAAAUCCAACUUAAAUCACUGUUUCCAGGCUGUGACCGAAGGCUUGAUCUUUCUGAAGUGAUGGUUGUUGCGCUCCUUCCAUAGGCUCCAGGCCGACGUCAAGAAGAUAUCCAUCCACAUCUUUCGGGGCUGCUUGGUUUUUUGGUGCAUGAUCAUAUCGAGUCUGUCAUGAUGUGUGGUCCAGGUGAAACCCAGAGAUCUCUAGCACUCCUGACUGAAAGUGCAAUAAAAUACUAGGUGUUCCACCGUUUCUUCUACAUGUUGGCCGCACAAGAGGCAAUCAAAAUUGUUUCCAAUGUUGUAGUGUCUCCUCUUGAGCAUGUUUCUGGUGUUGAGACGAUCAACAAGUAGGAGCCACCCAAAGGUCUUAAUCUUGGGAAUACAUUUUGCUAUCCAUAGCCAACCGAAAGCUUCAUGGGCAAUCACAUCCCUGAAAUAAAAUUUGUAAUAUGAGGAUGUUUUGAAGUUAUUGUCUCCCCACACACAUUGCCAAGUGUCAUGAUCCUCCGUAAGUGUGAUUUCGGCCACCUCAGCUUGGAUGGAGCGCAGUUCAUCACGAGCUUGAAUAGAGAGUGGUAGGUGGAAGGUUUCAUGCAGAUCAGUGGAUGUUAGGAGAUGUUUGACCGAGAGAUGUCUUCAAAAAUGGCAUAAGAAUAGGCCCUCGGGCAUGUUUCAACAUAUAUGGACUGACUCCAAUUAUCUUUCCAGAACAAGGCAGAAGAUCCAUUACCAAUUUUGAUGCGUGUCACACCACGAUAUGUGGGCAUUAGAUGAGUUAAAUCUUUCCACUAGAAGGAACCACACGAGUCAUGAGCAUGUGGAAUAGUGUCAUCGUAAUAAGAGUCCCAGAUUAGAUGGACCCAAGGGAUAUCGUGCUUGUUAUAGAACUUGUGGAGAAACUUGAGGAGUAAGGCAUCAUUCUGUAUUCUGAGGUUAAUGACACCCAUACCACCAUUUUCCUUGGGCGUGCAGACCAUAUUCCAAGCAGCAAGAGAAUUACUCUUAAUUCCAUCGUCAGACCGUUUUUGCCAUAGACAGUGUCUUCUUAUCUUGUCAAGUUGAGCUACAAUCUUUGGUGGGAGACGAAUUGUGCCCAUUGUGAACAUGAUAAGAGAAGUGAUCAUCGAUUUCAUGAGAGAAAGUUUCCCCGCAUAUGACAUUAAAGACAUAGCAGCCGUGAUGUUCCUUUCUGCCUUGCAAACAAGAGGAGCCAAAUCUUGGACCGACGGCCGAGUGGUGCCUAGGGGUAGGCCAAGGUACGUGAACGGCAUGGAACCCACAGUGGAACCUAACAGAUCAGCCAGUUCUUUGCAUUUAUCAGGAGGCGUGUUAAUCGGAACUAUCGUGGAUUUAUGGAAGUUGAUCUUGAGUCCGAUGGACGUGGCAUAAUCCUCAAGGAUCUCCUUAAUCUUGGCAGUUUGGCGGGUGCAGGCUGGCAUGAUGAUGAUCAUGUCGUCCGCGUACUAGAUAACGGGGUAGUCUCCAUUAGUGUUGCGUCGGAUGGGUAGUUCCAGGAGGUUAUUUCGAAGGGCAUCACUGGAGCAGAUCUGCGGCGAUGACAAAGAUCAGAGGCGAUAGAGGGUCACCUUGUCGUACACCACAUUUGCAUUGGAAAGAUUUCCCCGAAGUACCAUUUAGCAAGACCGAAGAUUUACCAGAAGUGAAGAUACAUUGGAUCCAUUGAAGCCAUUUGUCAUUGAAACCCACUUUUUUCAUAAUGUGCAACAUAGCAGAAUGUUGGAUAGUGUCAAAGGCUUUGGCGAAAUCCAACUUCAGCAAAAUUAUCUCCUGUUGCGAAGAUUGACAUUGGUAUAUGUAUUCAAAAGCCCACGGCAGACAGUCAUGUAUAGAUCGUCCAUGUAAGAAUCUGUACUGAUUACGGUGGACUAUCUGCAAAAUGAUCUUUUGGAGGCGAUUGGCCAGCAGUUUUGUGAUCAAUUUAAGGCAACAAUUUAACAAAGUGAUCGGGCGAAAGUCAUUGACCGUCUCUUGUGAGGAGUUCUUUGGGAUCAAGGUAAUAUAGCCCUAGUUUAAGCAUUCAAGGUUCAAAUCCCCUCUAUGAAAUUCAUUGCACAGAUUGUAAAAAUCGUUUUUAUGAUUGGCCAGCAUGCUUUCAAGAAGGCGCCAUUGAAGCCAUCAGGGCCCGGUGCUCUGUCCGGGGGCAUCUCCUUAACCACAGCAUCAAUCUCAUCAUGUGUGAAUGGGGUAGUAAGGCUAUCAAAAUCAACCUGUUGUCUGCGUAAAGAUGAAAGGUUAAGCUUCAUGCUUGAUUCCGAGCAUGUACCCAGUCUUUGUUUGAAGGCUUGGAACAAAAUAGUUUCCUUGCCAGCAUGAUCCUCCACAAUAGUCCCUUGUUCAGUUUUUAAGGUAGCAAUGCAGUUUCUUCUGAAUCUUUUCAUAGCUACCGAUUGGAAAAAAUUUGAAUUUCAUCUACAAACUUGAUCUGACGGAUUGUGCAUCUCUUCUUCCAGUAGUCCUUUUGAUAACUAAGUAGUCAGAGGGGGUGCUUUUUGAGAAUGUUUCUGAAGUUAUGUUCAGGAACCAAGAGGGCGCGACGCUCUUCAAUACCAUCAAGUUCAAGCAGGGCUUUGUUGGAAUUGUUGAUGGCAAUCUUGAGGCGGGAAAUCUUUUUGCUCCCGUGAGUUAAGUCAUAACGGAUAGCUUUCAGUUUUUGGCAGAGGAUAGAUGCCGCAUUGUUAUAUUUGCCAAAUCUAAGAGGCUUAUUCCAAGCUUCCUCAACAACAUGCAGGAAACCUGGGUGAGCAAUCCAAUAGGUUUCAAAUCUAAAAAUUCUGCUCUUGGGGAUCUUUGAUUGGAUGACCACAGAACAGGGUAUAUGGUCAGAGACUGGGCGGCCCAAUGGGUUUACCAUAGUGUUAGGAAAAGAUGUCGUCCAAUUGAGCGUGGUGAAGAACCAAUCUAAUUGUUCGAUCAGAGGAUUAAGCUGCAUAUUAGACCAAGUGAAAGCGCAACCUUUAAUGGGAAGUUCGGUUAGUUCUUGCUCUCGGAUGAAAUCAUUAAAGGUAAACAUAUCCUGAGUGUUCCCUCCUGGUAAAUUACGAUUGUCAAGCGAGCGAAUGUAGUUGAAAUCACCCAGCAGAAGCCAAUCUUCAGAAGAAGGGAUGGAGAGGACAAACAACCAUUGAGUGUAAGUGUUACGCUGCUCCCCUUGACAUGGGCCGUAAAUAUUAACCAAAGUCCAGUUAUGAGCAUUUUGGGUGGAAGUGAAAUUGAUGCCUAACGCAAAUUGCUCCUCAAAAGUGACCGUACCAGUGAAAAGAGCAGNNNNNNNNNNNNNNNNNNNNNNNNNNNNNNNNNNNNNNNNNNNNNNNNNNNNNNNNNNNNNNNNNNNNNNNNNNNNNNNNNNNNNNNNNNNNNNNNNNNNNNNNNNNNNNNNNNNNNNNNNNNNNNNNNNNNNNNNNNNNNNNNNNNNNNNNNNNNNNNNNNNNNNNNNNNNNNNNNNNNNNNNNNNNNNNNNNNNNNNNNNNNNNNNNNNNNNNNNNNNNNNNNNNNNNNNNNNNNNNNNNNNNNNNNNNNNNNNNNNNNNNNNNNNNNNNNNNNNNNNNNNNNNNNNNNNNNNNNNNNNNNNNNNNNNNNNNNNNNNNNNNNNNNNNNNNNNNNNNNNNNNNNNNNNNNNNNNNNNNNNNNNNNNNNNNNNNNNGGAUAUACGCAUAUCUAUCAAAACGUUUACGGCAGAGCGAUUUGAGAGUGGUAGCAUCAAACGUCGACAUUUUAGUUUCUUGUAGAUAGAUAAUCGCACACCCACUAGACUGGAUCGCAUUAGAAAGUGCUAAGCAUUUUUUCGAAUUAAGACCACGAAUAUGCCAACAUAGAACGUUCCACGACUACAAAAGUACCAUUAAACGAGUAAAUAGAGAAAGCAACCGAGCUUAGGUCGAGGAAGAUGUCCCAGCCGGAUCUUUAGUGAGUGCAGUAACAGUGAGCUCCUCCUCCGGGAUGGCACACAGAUUUGUGCCAAUGGCUUGCAUUGUGGCGAUGGCAGUUGGUGGAGGGAUUUCUUCAUUCAUCAUCUGCAGGGAGGAAGCAACUGUAGAGUCCAGGGAAGUAGCCGAGGGAACAGUACACGGCUCCACUUUGGAUUUGGGGGCCUUAACUUUAGAAAGAGAAUGGAUACGGAAGCCAUCAUAUUUAUUGGAACGGUUUCUGCGAUGAAGAGUUGAGGUAUCAAUUGGAGCUGGCAUUUUCCCUUUGCGUUUGCGAGAUGAGGAACCAACAGCAGUGAUUGAGGGUUUAGAAAUUUCACCUGUCGCAAUCUGAAGCAAACCGGUCUGAGUUUCAGAGUGGUAAGCAGCCAGGUCAGUCAGAGGUGAUUCAGUAUCCGCAUCAGUUCUCAUAUGGAGGGAAUCAGCAUUGACAAGAGCAGAAACAUCAACAGUAUCAGAGACCUCAACCCCAUAAUUUUCCACAGAACCCUGAUUCUCCUGCAUGAUCUGUCCAUCAGAGUUUGGCAGGCUAUCAGAAAGCUCCUCAAUGAUCACACCAGAGUUAGUGGACGGAGCAAGCAAAUUGUGCUGUGUGAAAUGAAGGCCCGCAGGGCUAGCAGCCACCUGAACCUCAAGGUGCAGAACAUCCUGCCUGAACCCAAAACCAGAAGCCCAUUGUCCCCUUGUAGCAAGUAGAGGACGAAUAGCAUGGAAAAGUACAGUGUUGAGUUGCUGUUGGGGUAUGGGAUUGGAUAGAAGGAUUUCCAAGAGAGAAUCACCUUGAGCAGAUAAACCAAAACGCAUACCUUGGUCGUGAAUAUCCACAGAGAUGGUGACCACCUCAGCAGCAGCAGUGUGUAUCUCCUGAUUGAUAAGGGCAGGACUAGUAAUACAUGGAGAAGCCGCAGGUAAAAUGAUCAAGUCCGACUCAGUGGAAGCAGUAUCUUCAGAAGAAGUAUAUUCAGAAGAAGUAACAGCCUCAUGCCAAGCUUGCAUAGGAUUGUUAGUGACAUUGGUUUCAGGAACGACUCCAUGCAAAAUAGUGAGGCCCUGGGAAGCAAGCCAAGCCUGAUAAUUCAUUAGGUGAGGUGGCAUAGGAUGAGCUGGAGGUUCUGGCCAAACACCCCACCCUUGGUUUGGAGCUUCUUCAUUGUUACGAGCAGGUUGAUUGGGGGGAUCAGCAUUCUGCACUAACCAAUUAUGAACCUGCUGCUGAUAGAGCUGCUCAGCAGUAAGCUCAGGUCCGAACUAUGGAUGAGGGUUGCCAUCAUCGGGAGGUGGCUCUUCAUUAGCAGGCAACACUUCAGAGAGCAAACCAUUCCAGUCAUUGCUUCUUAAGAUAGUUACCUAAAUAGUCCAACAGUCCCUAGCACCUCCAAGCUGUCAGGCAACAAAACUUUUGGGCACUAAAUUCAGGCAGAUCACACAUGCUUUGAUCAACAUAUACCUCCUAUCCUGGCGUGGGUUGUACCAUGAAACCAUAGAACCAUAACCCCCUAAUGCCUUAGUGAUGUAGUAGUCCAUUUGGUAAUCAUAGGGGAAACCGAAAAACAUCAACCAAAUCUCUGGACCAAAGGAGGCGGUGUGUUUGUUGAGGGCCUCAUUGUGAGGCACAAAAGUGAUAAGAAGAUCCUCAUCCUCUAGUUCUAGCGGCGUGUUGGCAGCCGUAUCCCUCAAGAAUGAGUUUACAAAACCAAAGAUCCCAAUACCACGUGGAUGAUCACUAGUUUUAGUGGUAAAGAGAUUGGCUUCAUGCAGCAAACCUUCGAUAGCAGUCCGAAUGGCAGCCCGACGAUGCAGAGGAACGUAGGCACUUGCUUCCGCAAUCGCCAAGUAGUCGUGGUUCAGAGGCGCAAUCGGGCCGACCACCAUCCCAGACCUGACCAAGCGGUCCACAGGUCCAGGCUCCACCGCAAACCCAGGCGGCAGGAAGGGGACGGGGUUGAGAGGAUAGUUAGCCAUGGCGGAGGACGGAGUGGGUGGAGGCCUCAAUGGCGAGCGAGGCAGAGUGAUGGCAUUGGUGACAAGGGAGGUGGUCUGCAGACUGGGGCGAGGCAUUUGGUCAAUCGAGGUGGAAGGCGGAGCGUGAGUGGUAGAAUCGGUAAGUCGAGUUGAUUUAGGAAUCCACUUCUAUUUUUGCGCUUUCAGUCGUUGGAAACAUUGCCGCGCCAUGUGACCAUAGAAGCCGCACGAUUGACAUCUGAUGGUGCGUCUCUUACGCUGUUUGAUGGUAAGGGAGGCCAGAGCCGCGGGACUGGCGUUGGGGAUGAUUUGCUUCCCUUGGCUAGCGCCAACAUGGUCAAAAGUAUGCAUCAUUGAAGUAGAUUUGGGGCAAUUGAUUGCCUUGUGGUCAAGCGCGGAGCAUUUAAUACAUAUUAGGCGUGCAUGGCAACCAGUGUUUUUUGUGCCCCCAUUGCAGACACUUAGAGCAAAGCGAGGCCCAGUGAGUGUUUAGUUCCGUAGUUUCCUCCAAGGAGUAGUGGGCUUGGGCCAGAUCGGCCUUGUGCUGGUUGCUAAGCGUUGGAGGCCAAAACUCAUGCGGUGGCACAUAUUUGAAUGUAGAGGAAAGAAAACACUGGGGCAACGGUGGGUAUUGGGCGUGAAGUGAGCAUUUAAAGCUGCCCAGGACAAUAAAAUCCACGGAAUGAUUGCCCAUAAAUUGCUCUUGUCUGAGAAAAUGCUGCAUUAAUUGAAUAUUUGAACCCAAAGCCUGUGAUGUAGUUGGCUUUUACGAUGUUGAAUCAUGGGAGUAUCAAAAUUCAAAUGAUGAAGCAUUGAACAAGAAGAUGAGGCUUCGUUAGAAUUCUUGUUUGAAAAAUCCAUCUUGCCAAUUGGAGCAAUAUUGCCAAGGACCUGAGCAGACCGGGAUCCUCAUGCAACGACCGGUGUGUUCGAUUGAAGGUUGGUCUUGACCGCAACGGGAGACCGAGAAGAGAUGUCCAAUAUUUCUUGAUCUGCAUGUCAGGAGGAGGCAGAGGCAGGAGCUCUAGCAUAUCGGCCGUUAAAGAGAUGGAAAUGAUAAACAAAGUCUGGCCAAACUCGAUCUUUCAAACCAUAGAUGAAAUGUCCAACUUUGUAACUUGCAACAGAAAAUCGGAAUGAACAAUCCAUGAUCUUAGCAAACCAGAACUUAAACCCCCAAGACAACAUUGCAAAGCAAUACCAACAGAUUCCACCGCGAGAGGAAAGGAUGCUGAAGAGAACGUGACCACCAGAAAGAAUUCCUUGGAGCCUUGGGAAGGGGAAAAUUGGACCGUCGUGCCAAACCUGUGCCUCACCUGAUCUGCAAGGGCAAGGCCCGGAGCAAAGUCCCAAUGAAGAAGACCAUCCAUGAUUCCUAGGAUUAGAGGUCACCAUUGUUGGUGGAGGUGAGGUGGAAGGGUGGGAGGUGGGAUGGAGAGGAGAGGUGGAGGAGAGUCAUCUUACGUUACGGGACCACGGGCAACUCGUGUUGGCCGGAUUUCAUUUUCUGUGCCGGUCAGACCAAGCACAUCCCCUGAGUGACGAAAUUUUGUUUUUUUAUUCAAGUAUCCUUUUAUGCUAUCUAGAAAUUCUAUAUCAUUUCCAAUCAACAAUCUGUCAUGCACAUAUAAUAUCAGAAAUGCUACAUGUCUCCCACUCACUUUCUUGUAAAUACAUGCUUCACCAUAAGUCUAUAUAAAACCAUAUGAUUUGAUCACCUCAUCAAAGCGUAUAUUCCAACUCCGAGAUGCUUGCACCAGUCCAUAGAUGGAUCGCUGGAGCUUGCACACAUUCUUAGCACUUUUAGGAUCGACAAAAACCUUCUGGUUGCAUCAUAUACAACUCUUCUUUUAAGAAAUAUAUUAAGUAAUUCAGUUUUUGACAUCCAUUUGCCAUAUUUCAUAAAAUGCGGGAAUUGCUAACAUGAUUCGGACAGACUUAAGCAUCGCUACGAGUGAGAAAAUCUCAUCGUAGUCAACACCUUGAACUUGUCGGAAACCUUUUGCGACAAGUCGAGCUUUGUAGAUAGUAACACUACCACCAGUGUAUGUCUUCCUCUUGAAGAUCCAUUUAUUCUCAAUGGCUUGCCGAUCAUCGGGCAAGUCAACCAAAGUCCAUACUUUGUUCUCAUACAUGGAUCCUAUCUCAGAUAUCAUGGCCUCAAGCCAUUUUGCGGAAUCUGGGCUCAUCAUCGCUUCCUCAUAGUUCGUAGGUUCGUCAUGGUCUAGUAACAUGACUUCUAGAACAGGAUUACCAUACCACUCUAGUGCGGAAUGUACUCUGGUUGACCUAUGAGGUUCGGUAGUAACUUGAUAUGAAGUUUCAUGAUCCUUAUCAUAAGCUUCCUCUCUAGUUGGUGUAGGAAUCACGGGAACGGAUUUCUCUAAUGUGCUACUUUCCAAAUUGAGAGAAGGUACAAUUACCUCAUCAAGUUCUACUUUCCUCCCACUCACUUCUUUCGAGAGAAACUCCUUCUUUAGAAAGGAACCAUUCUUAGCAACAAAGAUCUUGCCUUUGGAUUUGUGAUAGAAGGUGUACCCAAUAGUUUCUUUUGGGUAUCCUAUGAAGACGCACUUCUCCGAUUUGGGUUCACGCUUAUCAGGCUGAAGCUUUUUCACACAAACCUCUCAACCCCAAACUUUAAGAAACGACAGUUUAGGUUUCUUGCCAAACCACAGUUCAUACGGUGUCGUCUCAACGGAUUUAGUUGGUGCCCUAUUUAACGUGAAUGCAACUGUCUCUAAUGCAUAAUGCCAAAACGAUAGUGGUAAAUCGGUAAGAGACAUCAUAGACCGCACCAUAUCUAAAAAAGUACAGUUACGAUGUUCGGACACACCAUUACAUUGUGGUGUUCCAGGUGGCAUGAGUUGUGAAACUAUUCCACAUUCUUUUAAUUGAAGGCCAAACUUGUAACUCAAAUAUUUGCCUCCGCGAUCAGAUCGUGGAAACUUUAUUUUCUUGUUAAGAUGAUUCUCUACUUCACUCUAAAAUUCUUUGAACUUUUCAAAUGUUUCAGACUUGUGUUUCAUCAAGUAGAUAUACCCAUAUCUGCUCAAAUCAUAUGUGAAGGUCAGAAAAUAACGAUACCCGCUGCGAGCCUCAACACUCAUCGGACCGCAUACAUCGGUAUGUAUUAUUUCCAAUAAGUCAGUGGCUCGCUCCAUUGUUCUGGAGAACGGAGUCUUAGUCAUCUUGCCCAUGAGGCAUGGUUCGCAAGUAUCAAAUGAUUCAUAAUCAAGUGAUUCCAAAAUCCCAUCUGGAUGGAGUUUCUUCAUGCACUUUACACUAGGUUGACCUAAACGGCAGUGCCACAAAUAUGUUGCACUAUCAUUAUCAACUUUGCAUCUUUUGGCAUAAAUAUUAUGAAUAUGUGUAUUACUACGAUCGAGAUUCAAUAAACCAUUCACCUCGAGUGUAUGACCAUAGAAGGUUUUAUUCAUGUAAAUAGAACAACAAUUAUUCUCUGACGUAAAUGAAUAACCGUAUUGCAAUAAACAUGAUCUCAUCAUAUUCAUGCUCAACGCAAACACCAAAUAACAUUUAUUUGAGGUUCAACACAAAUCCAGAAGGUAGAGGGAGUGUGCGAUGGUGAUCGUAUCAACCUUGGAAUCACUUCCAACACACAUCGUCACUUUGCUCUUAACUAGUCUCUAUUCACUCUGCAACUCCUGUUUUAAGUUACUAAUCUUAGCAACUUAACCGGUAUAAAAUACCCAGGGGCUACUAUGAACACUAGUAAAGUACACAUUAAUAACCGGUAUAUCAAAUAUACCUUUGUUCACUUUGCCAUCCUUCUUAUCCGCCAAGUAUUUGGUGUAGUUCCGCUUCCAGUGACCAUUCCCUUUGGAGUAGAAGCACUCGGUUUCAGGCUUAGGUCUAGCUUUGGGCUUCUUCACGGGAGUGGAAACUUGCUUGCCAUUCUUUCUGAAGUUCCCUUCUUUCCCUUGCCUUUUUUCUUGAAACUAGUUGUCUUGUUAACCAUCAACCCUUGAUGCUAUUUCUUGAUUUCUACCUUCGCGGAUUUUAGCAUCGCGAAGAGCUUGGCAAUCGUUUUCAUCAUCCCUUGUAUAUUAUAGUUCAUAACGAAUUUCUAGUAACUUGGUGAUAGUGACUAGAGAACUCUGUCAAUCACUAUCUUAUCUGGAAGAUUAACUCCCACUUGAUUCAAGAGAUUGUAGUACCCAGAUAUUUCGAGCACAUGCUCACUAGCUGAGCUAUUCUCCUCCAUCUUGUAGGCAGGUAUUAUACCUCUUAACACGGGCAUGAGUCUUAAAUAUCAUUUUUCAGCUCUUGAAACAUCUCAUGUGCUCCAUGGCGUUAAAAACAUUUUUGAAGUCCAGGUUCUAAGCCAUAAAGCAUGGUGCACUAAACUAUCAAGUAGUCAUCAUACCGAGCUUGUCAAACGUUCAUAACGUCUGCAUCUGCUCUUGCAAUAGGUCUAUCACCUAACGGUGCAUCAAGGACAUAAUUCUUCUAUGCAACAAUGAGGAUAACCCUCAGAUCAGGGACCCAGUCCGCAUCAUUGCUACUAUCAUCUUUCAACAUAAUUUUUCUCUAGGAACAUAUCAAAAAUAAAACUAGGGAGCUAUACAUGAGCUAUUGAUCUACAACAUAGAUACGCAAAUACUAUCAGGACUAAGUUAAUGAUAAAUUAAGUUCUAUUAAUCAAAUUACUUAAGAACUCCCACUUAGAUAGACAUCCCUCAAGUCAUCUAAAUGAUACGUGAUCCAAAUCAACUAAACCAUGUCUGAUUAUCACAUAAGAUGGAGUAGUUUUCCAAGGUGAACAUCUCUAUGUUGACCAUAUCUACUAUAUGAUUCACGUUUGACCUUUCGGUCUCAGUGUUCCGAGACCAUGUCUGUACAUGCUAGGCUCGUCAAGUUUAACUCGAGUAUUCUGCAUGUGCAAAACUGUCUUGCACCUGUUGCAUGUGAACGUAGAGCUUAUCACACCCAAUCAUCAUGUGUUGUCUCGGCACGACGAACUGUCACAACGGUGCAUACUCAGGGAGAACACUUAUACCUUGAAAUUUUAGUGAGGGAUCAUCUUAUAAUGCUACCGCCGUAUGUAGGAUCGAAAGUAUGUCUAGAGGGGGGUGAUUAGACUACUUGACCAGAUAAAAAUCUAUCCUUUUCCCAAUUUUAAGUCCUGGCAGAUUUUAACAACUUAGCACAAGUCAAGUAAUCAACCUACACAUGCAAUUCUAAGAGUAUAGCAGUGGAAUGUAAAAGAAUUGCAUAUGAAGGUAAAGGGGGAGUUUGGAGGGAGCAAACGCAAUGUAGACACGGAGAUUUUUGGCGUGGUUCCAAUAGGUGGUGCUAUCGUACAUCCACGUUGAUGGAGACUUGAACCCACGAAGGGUAACAGUUGUGCGCGUUCACGGAGGGCUCCACCCACGAAGGGUCCAUGAAGAAGCAACCUUGUCUAUCCCACCAUGGCCAUCACCCAUGAAGGACUUGCCUCACUAUGGUAGAUCUUCACGAAGUAGGCAAUCUCCUUGCCCUUACAAACUCCUUGGUUCAACUCCACAAUCUUGACGGAGGCACCCAAGUGACACCUAACCAAUCUAGGAGACACCACUCUCCAAAAGGUAAUAGAUGGUGUGUUGAUGGUGAACUCCUUGCUCUUGUGCUUCAAAUGAUAGUCUCGCCAACACUCAACUCUCUCUCAUAGGAUUGUAUUUGGUGGAAAGAGGGUUUGAGUGGAAAGUGACUUGGGAAGGCUAGAGAUCAAGAUUUAUGUGGUUGGAAUGGAAUAUCUUGACCUCAACACAAGUGUAGGUGGUUCUCUCUCAUAAAAUGUAUGUUGGAAGUGUAGGCAUGUUCUGAUGGCUCUCUCCUUGAAUGAAGAGUGGGUGGAGGGGUAUAUAUAGCCUCCACACAAAAUCUAACCGUUACACACAAAUCACCAAACUCGGUGGGACCGAAUAAUGAAACUCGGUCAGACCGAUUCAGUUCAAAAUGUGAACGUUAGGAUUUUCGGUGGGACCGACAUGUCAACUCGGUGGGACCGAUUCCAUUAGGGUUAGGGCAUAACGUAAUCUCGGUGAGACCGAUUACACAAACUCGGUUGGGACCGAUUUUGGUAAUAGGCAAACAGAGAGUUGGUGAGGCAAACUCGAUGGGACCGAUUCGCUCAUCUCGGUUAGACCGAAACGUUACGAAGGGGAAACAAAGAGUUUGCAUUGCAAGCUCGGUGGGACCGAUCACUCAUCUUGGUUGGAGCGAAACGUUACGAAGGGAAACAGAGAGUUUGCAAUCCCAUCUCGGUGAGACCGAAAUGACUAGGGUUUGUGGCUGUGGCUAUGUCAAAUGAACUUGGUGGCGUCGGGUAGGAAAUUUCGGUGGGGCCAAGUUUGACUUUUGGUUUGGGACAUAUGUGGAUGUGAGAAAAUAGUUGAGGGUUUUGGAGCAUAUCACUAAGCAUUUUGAGCAAGUAACUCAUUAAGCAACACAUCAUCCCCUUUUAAUAGUAUUGGCUUUUCCUAUGGACUCAAUGCGAUCUUGGAUCACUAAAAGUAAAAUGUAGAGUCUUGAGCUUGAGCCAACAUGUGUUCUUAGUAUUUUGAGGGGUCCACUUUCUGAUCCAUGCCAUGCCAAACAUUGAGCUUUCCUGAAAUAUUUAUCUUGAGAUAGCAUUAUCUCGAUGGGCUAUAUGUUGUUAGGAAUUACCAAAACCACCUAGGGAUAGUUGCACUUUCACUUUACUAAGCAAAAUAAGAUGCAUAAAAGAUAAACAUCACAUGCAAUCAAAAUAUAUGACAUGAUAUGGCCAUCAUCAUCUUGUGCCUUUGAUCUCCAUCUCCAAAGCACCAUCAUGAUUUCCAUCAUCACUGGCUUGACACCUUGAUCUCCAUCGUAGUGUCGUUGUCGUCUCGCCAACUAUUGCUUCUACAACUAUCGCUAACGCAUAGUGAUAAAGUAAAGCAAUUACAUGGCAAUUGCAUUUCAUACAAUAAGGCGACAACCAUAAGGCUCCUGCCAGUUGCCGUUAACUUUUACAAAACAUGAUCAUCUCAUACAACAACGUAUAUCAUAUCAUGUCUUGACCAUAUCACAUCACAACAUGCCCUGCAAAAACAAGCUAGACGUCCUCUACUUUGUUGUUGCAAGUUUUAAGUGCCUGCUACGGGCUUCUAGUAAGAACCGUUCUUACCUAUGCAUCAAAACCACAACGGUGAUUUAUCAAGUUUGUUGUUUUAACCUUUAACAAGGACCGGUCGCAGUCAAAUUCGAUUCAACUAAAGUUGGAGAAACAGACACCCGCCAGCCAUCUUUAUGCAAAACAAGUUGCAUGUCUGUCGGUGGAACUGGUCUAAUGAACGUGGUCAUGUAAGGUUGGUCCGGGCCGCUCAUCCAACAAUACCACCGAAUCAAAAUAAGACGUUGGUGGUAAGCAGUAUUAUUAUCAUCGCCCACAACUCUUUGUGUUCUACUCGUGCAUAUCAUCUACGCAUAGACCUGGCUCGGAUGCCACUGUUGGGGAACAUAGCAUGCAAUUUCAAAAAAAAUCAUAUGAUCACGCAAGAUCUAUCGAGGAGAUGCAUAGCAACGGGAGGGGGAGAGUGUGUCCAUGUACCCUCAUAGACCAAAAUAGGAAGCGUUUGGCAAUGUGGUAGAUGUAGUCGAACUUCUUCUCAUUCCGACCGAUCAAGCACCGAACGUACGGCACCUCCGAGUUCUGCACACGUUCAGCUCGAUGAUGUACCUUGAACUCUUGAUCCAGAAAAGUAUUGAGGGAGAGUUUUGUCAGCACGACGGUGUGCUGACGGUGAUGGUGAAGUGAUCCGCGCAGGGUUUCUCCUAAGCACUACGACAAUAUGACCGGAGGCGUAAACUCUGGAGGGGGCACCACACACAGCUAGGAAUCAAUGUUGUGUGUUCUAGCGGUGCCCCUCCCCACAUAUAUAUAUAGGUGGGAGAGGGAGAGGGGCUGCAAGGGGCGCCCCAAGUAGGAGUAAUCCUACUUGGGCGCCUCCUCCAAGUCGGCCUUCCCCCUUCCAUAUCCAUCGGAGGGGGGAGGAUAGAGAGGGAGGAGGGGGAGGCCGAAUCCUCCCCUUUCCUUGUCCCUUCCCUGCCUUUCCUUCUCCUCCUAUUCAGCCUAUAGGGGGUGCACCAGCCCCUUUUGGGGCUGGUCUGUCCAAUGCUUGGCCCAUUAGGCCCAUCUAGCUUGUCGGGGGUUGCCCGGAACCCCUUCCGGUGACCCGAUACAUACCCGGUACCCCCAGAAUACUUCCGGUGUCUAAAUACUAUCGUUCUAUAUAUGAAUCUUUACCUAUCGACCAUUUCGACACUCCUCGUCAUGUCCAUGAUCUCAUCUGGGACUCCGAACAACAUUCGCUCACCAAAUCACAUAAGUCAUAUAAUACAAAUCGUCAUCGAACAUUAAGCGUGCGGACCCUACAGGUUCUAGAACUAUGUAGACAUGACUGAGACACCUCUCCAGUCAAUAACCAAUAGCGGAACCUGGAUGGUCAUAUUGGCUCCCACAUAUUCUACGAAGAUCUUUAUCGGUCAAACCGUUAUGACAUAAUACGUUAUUCCCUUUGUCAUCGGUAUGUUACUUGCCCGAGAUUCAUCGUCGGUAUCUUCAUACCUAGUUCAAUCUCGUUCCGACAAGUCUAUUUACUCGUUCCAUAAUGCAUCAUCCCGUAACUAACUCAUUAGUCACAUUGCUUGCAAGGCUUAUUAUGGUGUACAUUACCGAGAGGCCCAGAGAUACCUCUCCGAUGCUCGGAGUGACAAAUCCUAAUCUCGAUACCUGUAGAGCAUCCUUAUAAUCACCCAGUUACGUUGUGACGUUUGAUAGCUGAUACGUCUCCAACGUAUCUAUCAUUUUUGAUUGCUCCAUGCUAUAUUAUUGACUGUUUUGGACAUUGAGGGAGUCCUGGAUUAGGGGGUGUUCGGGUAGCCGGACUAUAUCUUCAGCCGGACUCCUGGACUAUGAAGAUACAAGAUUGAAGACUUUGUCCCGUGUCCGGAUGGGACUUUCCUUGGCGUGGAAGGCAAGCUUGGCGAUGCGGAUAUUCAAGAUCUCCUACCAUUGUAACCGACUUUAUGUAACCCUAACCCUAUCCGGUGUCUAUAUAAACCGGAGGGUUGUAGUCCGUAGGCAAUCAACUCCAUAUACAACAAUCAUACCAUAGGCUAGCUUCUAGGGUUUAGCCUCCUUGAUCUCGUGGUAGAUCUACUCUUGUACUACCCAUAUCAUCAAUAUUAAUCAAGCAGGACGUAGGGUUUUACCUCCAUCAAGAGGGCCCGAACCUGGGUAAAACAUCCCGUUCCCUGCCUCCUGUUACCAUCCGGCCUAGACACAUAGUUCGGGACCCCCUACCUGAGAUCCGCCGGUUUUGACACCGACAUUGGUGCUUUCAUUGAGAGUUCCUCUGUGUCGUCGCCUUUAGGCCCGAUGGCUCCUUUGAUCAUCAACAACGAUGCGGUCCAGGGUGAGACUUUUCUCCCCGGACAGAUCUUCGUCUUCGGCGGCUUCGCUCUGCGGGCCAAUUCGCUCGGCCACCUGGAGCUGAUUGAAAGCUACGCCCCUGGCCAUCAAGUCAGGUUUGGAAGCUUAAACUACACGGCUGACAUCCAUGGAGACUUGAUCAUCGACGGAUUCGGGCCACGGCCAAGCGCGCCGCACUAUGUCGAGGGACAUGAUCUAGAUCUGUCCCCGGACAGUGUCCUGGAGGCCGCACACGCAUCGGUUCCGACCCCUAACUCGGAGCCUAUUGCGCCAAUCGAGGAUGAGCGGUUGGACGUCACCUCGGGAGCUGCAAUCUCGAAAGCGAUCGAGCCGAACGCUAGCCCCGCACUCUGCACGACCUGUGACUUCGAGGAUCCGGACUCCUUCCCGGACUCCGAACCCCCCGCGCCCCUGCCAAUCGAAUCCGAUUGGGCGCCGAUAAUGGAGUUCACCGCCGCAGACAUCUUUCAGCAUUCGCCUUUUGGCGACAUCCUGAAUUCUCUUAAGUCUCUCUCUUUAUCAGGAGAGCCCUGGCCGGAUUACAGUCAGCGAGGGUGGGAUACGGACGAUGAGGAAAUUCAAAGCCCACCCAUGACCCACUUUGUAGCCACUGUCGAUGAUCUAACCGACAUGCUUGACUUCGGCUCCAAAGACAUCGAUGGCAUGGACGAUGAUGUAGGAGACGAACAGGAACUAGCACCUAUAGGGCACUGGAAGGCCACCUCGUCAUAUGACAUAUAUAUGGUAGAUACUCCAAAAGAUGGAGAUGGCGAUGGAACAGUGGGGGAUGACGCCCCAAGAAAUAGCCAAAGCGCCGGCGUCAGCGGCGCCGCUCUAAAUCCCGCCAAAGCAAAAACGGUGAUUCCGGCACGGGAGACAAUACUACCCCGGAUAGCGCCGAAGAACACUCACCUCAGCAAGAUUUGGCACAGGAAGAUGGAGAAGCCAGCCCUCAUGAGAGAGCGGCAGACCAAGAGGUCGAGGAUGAUAACUAUACGUCUCCCUCCGAAGACGAGGCAAUCCUCGAUGACGACGAAUUUGUCAUACCAUCAGACCCCGCCGAACGAGAGCGUUUUAAACGCAGGCUUUUAGCCACGGCAAACAGCCUCAAGAAAAAGCAGCAAUAGCUUAGAGCUGCCCAAGAUUUGCUAGCUGACAGAUGGACUGAAGUCCUUGCGGCCGAAGAGUAUGAACUCGAACGCCCCUCCAAGAGUUACCCGAAGCGCAGGCCGCUACCCCGAUCAGAGGAGGAAGCACCUACAUCACCAGUGCAUGACAUGGCAGACCGGCCACCUCGCGGCUAUGACAGAGAGGCCUCUCGGCCCUCCACCCAAGCCAUGCCCCGCCGCCGCUCAACUAAGGCACGGGAAAAUGCGCCCGACCUGCGAGACAUAUUGGAGGAUAAGGCAAGACAAACAAGAUCGAUCUACGGAUCACGCAGGCGCCCUAUGACAUGUGAUAAUGAUCUUCACUCCGGAUAGAACAAAUCCGGUCGGGCCGAACACAACAGACAUAGCUCUUCCAAGCUGCGUCGUGAUAUAGCCCAGUACAGAGGCGCCGCACACCCGCUAUGCUUCACAAAUGAAGUAAUGGAUCAUAAAAUCCCAAAGGGUUUCAAACCCGUAAACAUCGAAUCAUACGAUGGCACAACAGAUCCAGCGGUAUGGCUCGAGGAUUAUCUCCUUCACAUCCACAUGGCACGCGGCGAUGACCUACAUGCCAUCAAAUACCUCCCGCUCAAACUUAAAGGACCGGCCUGGCAUUGGCUUAACAGCUUGCCAGCAGACUCAGUCGGUUCUUGGGAGGACAUGGAAGCCGCAUUCCUCGACAACUUCCAGGGCACUUACGUGCGACCACCGGAUGCCGACGACUUAAGCCACAUAAUUCAGCAGUCAGAGGAAUCGGCCAGACAAUUCUCGACACGGUUUCUAAUAAAGAAAAACCAGAUAGUCGACUGUCCGGACGCAGAGGCCCUAGCAGCCUUCAAGCAUAACAUCUGCGACGAGUGGCUUGCCCGGCACCUGGACAUGAAAAGCCGAAAUCCAUGGUAGCCCUCACGACACUCAUGACCCGCUUUUGCGCGGGAGAAGACAGCUGGCUAGCUCGCAGUAACAACUUAUCAAAGAACCCUGGUAAUUUGGAUACCAAGGACAAAAGUGGCAGGACACGUCGGAAUAAGCAAAAAUGCCAUGUUAGCAGCGACAGCAAUGAAGACACGGCAGUCAAUGCCGGAUUCAAAGGCUAUAAAUCCGGUCAGCGGAAAAAGCCAUUCAAAAAGAAUACUCAGGGCCCGUCCAGUCUGGACCGAAUACUCGAUCGCUUGUGCCAGAUACAUGGCACCCCCGAAAGGCCAGCCAAUCACACUAACAGGGAUUGUUGGGUGUUCAAGCAGGCAGGCAAGUUAAGGGCCGAAAACAGAGACAAGGGGUUGCACAGCGACGACGAGGAGCCCAAGCCGCCGAACAACAAUGGACAGAAGGGCUUUCCCCCACAAGUGCGGAUGGUGAACAUGAUAUACGCAACCCACAUUCCCAAGCGGGAGCGGAAGCGUGCGCUACGGGACGUAUACGCGAUAGAGCCAGUCGCCCCAAAGUUCAACCCAUGGUCCUCCUGCCCGAUCACUUUUCAUCGAAGGGACCAUCCCACUAGCAUCCGUCAUGGCGGCUUUGCCGUAUUGGUUCUCGACCCAAUCAUCGACGGAUUUCAUCUCACACGAGUCCUCAUGGACGGCGGCAGUAGCCUGAACCUGCUUUAUCAGGAUACAGUGCGGAAAAUGGGCAUAGAUCCCUCAAGGAUUAAGCCCACAAGAACGACCUUUAAAGGCGUUAUACCGGGUGUAGAAGCCAACUGUACAGGCUCAGUAACACUUGAUGUGAUCUUCGGAUCCCCAGACAAUUUCCGAAGCGAAGAGUUAAUCUUCGACAUAGUCCCGUUUCGCAGUGGCUAUCAUGCCCUGCUCGGAUGAACCGCAUUCGCAAAGUUCAAUGCGGUGCCGCACUACGCAUAUCUCAAGCUCGAGAUGCCAGGCCCUCGAGGAGUAAUUACGGUCAAUGGAAACACCGAACGCUCCCUCCGUACGGAGGAGCAUACGGCGGCUCUCGCAGCGGAGGUACAAAGUAGCCUUCUCAGGCAAUUCUCCAGUCCGGCCAUCAAAAAGCCAGACACUGCCGAGCUCGCCCAGAGUAACCCACAACAGGACCGUCUGGCACACUCUCAGCAAGCGUAGCAAUGUGGCCCCAACCCCAGCUUUCGCAACAUAGCGAAACCAGUACCUCGCGUACAUAACUACGCCCUUGAAAUACCAUGGGCACAGGGGAAGGGGCACAAUAACGGCACACCCAAAAUACGGCUUAAAACGUACUAGGGGCUGCCGGAUUCUUUUUUAGAUUUUCUUACUUUCAGGACUCCAUACUUCGGAUGACCUGUUCGGCAAUUCGACUGCCGCACAAACGAUGCAAGAUCCAGGGAGGCAGACAAGCCAUGCCACAUUAUGGAACUCCCAGGUGGUCUCUGUUACGAGCGGUAUACCUGUUUUCAAUACAAUUCCGUGGCCUGCCCCUGGUCAGGACAUACUGAAUAGUCCAAUAUCUUUUGCUUACCGCACUAUUUGUAUCGUUCGGCUUUGAUAAAUAGCCUCUCUAUAAACAAUGCUUAACUUCUUAUCUAUGUUUUGCAUUAUCUUCUUUUCACAUUUAUGUUUAUUAAAUGACAUGAUUGCACCCGUACACCAUGGUACGGCAAACACGCCAGGGGCUUCAGUACCCCUCAUAACAGUGUGAGCAGUCCGUACACUUUCACAAGUGCGGCACCCCGAACUUAUAGCACUAUAUGCAUCGGCUCCGAAUCAUGAUUUGGGUCAAUAGUUGGGUUUGCCCGGCUCCUAUGUUUUGGUGCCUUAUGUUCCGCUCUAUCGGCUAAGGUAGCACUAGGAGAACCACUGCAAUUGUGCCCCGGUUCAGCUGGGUUAAGCACCUCAGUGGAGAAAGCUAAAACUGACUGUCAUGAUGUGGCGAGAGACCGGUCGCUGUUCGAGACGUUUUUCGACUCCCUAAAGGCUUAUGCCGCUUCGAGCGAGGAGCUGGCUUUGUCCGGCCAAGGCAUGGAUAGCGCCCCGAACUCGGUCUUCCGAACUAGGGGCUUCACCAAAAUUUAAAAUUAUAGAGUUCUAUGGCUAAGUGAGAGUGUUCAACCAUUAUAGUCCCAUUGCCUGGUUCGUUGUGCUGACCGCCUCCCUCGACAGACCCAAUCAUGGGAAAAAGAGCGCUUAGGUUUAUCCCGAACACCCCAGCACUAGUGUCAUGGGGGCAGAACCCGACGACUGGCCAUCUCUCAAUUUUUUGAUAAACGGCCGCACAGAAAGUAAUAUUUUAAAUUCAAGCAUUGCUUAGCGCAUAUGAACAAGUUUUCAACGCACAGGAUAACACGAGCGAGUUCAUUCAAAAAUUACAUCCUUGGUACAUUCAUCCGCCACAAGGCGGGCACCAGCAAGAACAUCCUUGUAAUAUUUCUCGGGCUUGCGAUGCUCCUUCCCCGGCGGCGGCCCGUCCUUCACAAGCUUCUCACCGUCCAGCUUACCCCAAUGCACCUUUGCACGGGCAAGAGCCCUACGGGCACCUUCGAUGCAGACGGAGCGCUUGAUGACCUCGAGCCUUGGACAAGCCUCCACCAGCCGCCGCACCAGUCCGAAGUAGCUCCCAGGCAGGGCCUCUCUAGGCCACAGCCAAACUAUGAAACCCUUCAAUGCCUGUUCGGCCGCCUUGUGGAGCUCGACCAGCUGCUUCAGCUGGUCACUCAAGGGCACAGGGUGUCCGGCCUCAGCGUAAUGAGACCAGAACACCUUCUCCGUCGAGCUGCCUUCCUUGGCUCGGUAGAAUGCGGCGGCAUCGGAUACGCUGCGGGGAAGAUCUGCGAAUGCCCCUGGAGAUCUCCGGAUUCGGGUAAGUAACAAGUAGUUUACUUUUAUAUGUCUGCUUUGCAUAUAGAAUGCCUUACCCGCUGCUAUCUUCCUCAUCUCCUCCAACUCUUGGAGGGCCUUUUGGGCUUCGGCCUUGGCAGACUUGGCAGCCUCUAGGGCCGUUGCAAGCUCGGAUGCUUGCGCCUUCGACUCCAGCUCCAAAUUCUCAUGUUUUUCCAUGAGAGCCUGCAGUUCUUGCUCCACCUCGCCGACCUGAACCCCAAGUCUGUCUCGCUCGGUGCGCUCCGCGGCCAUUUUCUUUUCGGCCUUAGACAGCGCCUGCUUAAGGGUCGCCACCUCAGUCAUGGCCCCUACAAUAAGCAGUACAAUCCUGUUACUCUUUUUUGCAAUCAAGCCUUUUUAUAGGCACUUUUUCUGUAAGGUAUUUCUUACCUUCUUCCUCCUCGAGCCACCGCUUGGCAAGGCCGAGCUCUCGCUCGGUCCGCUCGAGGUCCUACUUAAGGACACCCACCUCCGCAGUCAGUGCGGCGGUGGAUAGCAGCGAAGCCUGCAUACGCAUAUUGACUCUUUUUUUAGACUCCUGCGAAAUUUAAUAGAUCCUCUAUUCGGCUUUUCUUUUCGAACGCCAAACAGAGCAUCAGGUGCUACUGUCUAUGUGGUAAUAUUUUUACAUAUUUUUACUUACCCCGAAGCCUGUUAGAAGGCUAGCGCAAGCUUCAGUCAGUCCGCUCUUGGCGGACUGAACCUUCUGGAUCACCAUACUCAUAAUAGUACGUUGCCCCUUGUCGAUGGAGGCGUCGUCAAGCACCUCCAGCAGAUUGUCCGGCACCUCCGGUUGGACGGAGGCCGCCGGCUCAGAAGGCUUGCUCCUCUUAGAAGGAGUUCGCCUACCACGGUACCGAACUGUGGAAGAUUCCGGCGCGGUGUCAGGCACAAAGCCGGACUGAUAGCCCUGGGGAGCCUUAUCCCCUUCACUCCUGAAGUCUGGGAGGUUGCCUUGCGGCUCCUCUGGGACCACCUCCUCCUGCCCCGGAGCUUGUCGCGAUGGCACUUCCAUGUCGUCUGCAGUGCGGGGGAAGACAACGGGCGAAACUGAGUUCACGUCCGAUGAGUCCAGGGAGCCGCCCGACGAUUCGUCGAAUUCGGCACGGGGCGGACUGCAUAAUUACAUUUGACAUUAGGGAAAGCUGUGCAACAAAGGAACAUCAUGAGUUACUCUGAUAUCCGAACUUACGAUUUCGCCGGACGCUUGGCCCUGUUUGGCCACUCCUCUUUGCCCUCUUCGGUGUUGGGGGCGUAGUCCGGCGGAGGGGUCUUCCUUUUCCUAGACCCCUCGGCCUCCCCCGUUGGGGCGGCCUUCCUCUUCUCUCCUCCCUCCUCUAGGGGGGAGAGUCUACUUCUUCCUCCUCCUCGUUUUCGUGGGAGGAUGGCAUCUCGGACUCGUCAGAUGACGAGUCCGACACCACCACGUUGCGGGCACUCUUUCGAGUCCCCGUGGUCUUCACCUUCUUGGCCUUCUUCUCCGGCACCACAUAAGGCGCCGGAACCAGCUGUCGUGGUUCUAACUCUGAUAGUGAUGUAGGGGGUAUGUAUGGAGAGGCUAGAUCUCAGCUAUGGAGAAGUUGCAAGCACACCAGGAUGUACGAGUUCAGGCCCUUCGCGGAGGAAGUAACAGCCCUACGUCUCGGUGCCCGGAGGCGGUCGAUUGGAUUAUAGGUGUGUGAAUAACAGGGGUGCAAACCCUUGAUACUGAGGAGGGGGUGGCUUAUAUAGAGUUCGCCAGACCUCUCCCGCCCUCAGUAAUGCAGGGUUAAAAUACAUUAAGACUGGGCGUUACUGGUAACGUCCUUAAUAAAGUGCUAUGAUGACCAUAAAGACUACUUAAUGGCCGACCGUUUUCCUGCGGAGUGACUUUAGAUCUCCUGGCAGUCGAGUGGUUGGCUUCGUGGCCGAGUGAUAGCUUCCUGGUUGAGUGUCUUGAAUUCGUCGAGUGGGAUACCUUCAAGUCGAUUGAAAGGUGACUUCUUCUAGGGGUGUCCUUGGGUAGGGCUCUUAGGACAAGUCCAUGCCCCUACCCUAGGUACAUAGCUUCAUCAUUAGCCCCCGAAUGGAUUGAGGUUCGAGUGGGGAAGGAGUUGGGGAUCCUUCUGACUGGUUCUUAGUGUUAUAUGAAUGUCUUGUACUGGAUCAAUUGUCACGGAUGACGUUGUCAACUUCUUUCGGUCACCUUGAUCCAUUCUUGGUCUCUCGUCGAGUGAAUUUCCUUACUUGUGAAAUACCGAGUGCCAGCACGAGCGGGAUCUUCUGUUUGAUGAUAUGUUCUGCAGCCCGCGGAUUUUGCGGGAUUUGAAUUUCGGGAAGCGAGCGGGACGGGGGCGGACGCAGUAAUCGGAUGGGAUAGGACGGAAGCUCCUCGAUUCCUGCGCCACCUUUUUCGCCACGUACCGCGUGCGCGCCUGUUGCGGGAUUUUACGGGAUCGCCUGGGCCUACCGGUCAGCCACUCGGAAGCGGCCUCUUAUAAGCUGCCGGCUCGGGGCUCCCAAACAGUGUGCUCUCGCUUUUCCUUCUCCCUUCACAAGGUCCUCCGCCACCUCCGCUCUCACCCUAGCUCCGUAGGUCCGUUCGAGCCUCGCCGGCGAUGAUGGUGAAGGAUAAGACGUCGGCUUUGGAGCGGGUGAAGAAGGCGGCGGUGCAGGGGAAGGGGAAGAAGUCCGCUCGGGGCGGAUCUUCCUCGAGGACUGCUCUGCCCAAGGAUUGGAUCCAGGGCGACAGGAUGCCGUUGGUGAUUCGGCAGGAAGAUCUGAUGACAUGGUCGAGGGGGGAGUCAUUCCCCAUGAAGCUGCGCGUCUCCCGGGGAAAGAAGUCAAACCCCAACCUCUUGACGGUGAGUGCGUCCUCCUCGCCACCCAUAUCGAUCGAGGAUUUUCUCUACCUCCUCAUCCUUUUUUCCGGAGGUUUUUGAACUUCUUCGGAGCGCAGCUCCAUCACUUCACUCCCAAUUCCAUCGUGUAUCUUGCUGCUUUCGUUUCCUUGUGUGAAAGUUUCUUGGGUUGCCGCCCUCAUUGGGGACUCUUUAAACACAUCUUCACUUGCCAUUCCCAAUCAGUAAAGAAAGCCAAGUCGAGUGACGAACGGACGCAAGUGAUCCAGCUGUGCGGGGGCCUGGCGAUCCAGAUGAGGGGAAAAAGUUCUUUUCCGUCUAUCACUUUUCCCGAGUCGGUCCGUGGUUGGCAGUCAACCUGGUUUUAUUGCCAAGACCAGGUGAUUCUAGGACAGUUGACUGGGCUUCCCCCUUUCUCUCUGGACCGAGCUCAAAAACCUGCCUCUCUGAAAAUGCUGCCGGAGGAAAAGGCGCAAGUCAAGGUGCUGGUUGGUCGAGUGGUUCAACUUGUCCGAGAGGGCGUGACCGGCAUGGACUUGCUGGAGGUCUUCCUUCGGAGGCGCAUCCAACCGCUUCAGGCUCGUGACCACCCGAUGUGGAUGUACUCGGGUCUCGAAGACACCACUCGGAUUCACCCAGAGGAGGUCACUGACGAGAUGCUGGAAGGGUGGCUAUCGAGCAUCACAGGGAACAAAGACAACCCCUGAGGAGCCAGGAGGGUUCCUCCGCUUGACAACACAUACGAAGUGGACCAGGUCUGACCUUGUGUUCCCGACUGAGAUCUUGCUUUCUUCAUUUGCUCUCUUUGAAUCGGUCGACUGACUUUCGACUUGUCUGUUGUUCUCCAGGCAACUACAGAGAUGUACUCGACACCCAAUGGAGCACAAGAGCAGGCCGAGGAAGGGGAGGCGAGUGGAGGCAAAAGUGGAGACGAACAAGGAGAGUGGGAAUCUGACGGCAAAGGAGAGGGAGACGACGACGUCGACUCCAGCGAAGAGGAGGAGGAGGAGGAAGCUAAACCUCCCCACUUGGAAAGGCGAUCCAAGCUUACACACGACCCUGCGCGGGAACGUGGUAAGGCGACUGCUCCCAUUG